CCUCCUGCCGGUUUCUCGUUUUGAAUGCUGGAACGUCCCAAUUUGCCACCAACACAGCUCGGUACGCCCCGAACCGGGCGGUUCAAGAUGGUUCCGCAUUCCUUGCUUUAGGUUGUGGAGCUAUAAAUAUUCGAAUUUAGUAUUCAUGAAUGUAGGAUCUGGUAUUUCUUUAAAGGUCAGUUGUUCAUCAUCAUAGGGUGCGUGGGCUCCAUCUGUUUAAGGAUGAAGUUUAUUCAUUAACCGACUUCAGUUGGCCCACUAAAAAUGAGUUAUGGUGUGCAUAUCACAAUUGUGUUGGUUGUGGGUCUGUUAGUAACAUUUUGUAAGUUAAUUAUUGGGGGUUGUUUGUUGAACAUGUAUGGACAUUUACUUCAUUGAUAACAGACUUUUUGACUAGGUUAUAUAAGAAUUCUCUAUGAAAAUGUUACUUUACUAGUCUUGCAUCAGAUCGUUGGCAGUACUUAUUGUGUUUGACAGUUCUGAAAAAAGAGUAAUAAAAGAAGACGCUGAAAGACACUCUGUUUUGAGGAAGGCUAAAUGAUACAAUUUCAAAAAAAAGAGCAGGUGGGUCUGAUCUGAGAGGUUAAAAAUUUGUUGGUCUUGCAAGAUAGGUGUGACAUGUCCCACUUGUCUGAUGUGUCCAACCUGUUGGCAUUUGCAGGAUAGGCAACAAGAACCUGCUAAUGGGCUAAGUGGGUAUAAUUCAUAACAGCUCAUGCUAGUGCUAACCUGAUCAGACAUUGCCCUUCUGACUUUAUAUUCUUUCAUGUUGCAAAUCCAAUGGGUGAAAGUAGUUGGCACCAUGACAUCUAAGUUCAGCUUAUUCCUCACCACCCCCCACCACACAAAAAAAGGGCCUAUUGUUAGAAGACAUGGAGCAUUUCAUAAUAUUCUCUUUAAUCAUACAUUAUUAGAGAUACUGACAUCACUAGUCAAGGCUUUGAGUUUUAUCUAUCUGGUUUUUGAUUCACAUAAAUCAUAUGUUCCAUAGACCAUCCACUAACCCUUCUUAAGAUUCUGCCCAUGAUAUGCUCUACCAGUUGGUACCAGUGUGUACUAAGCAUACCGUAUCAUACUGAUACUGAAACGUCAGUAUGGAGGGCAUACCAAAUGUCGAUACAUCGAAUGGACCCUCAUAUUGGGCAUACCGAUAUUGUACCAGGAUGAUGCUAGUAUAGAUUUCGGUACCAAGAUGGUGAAACUUGCUUUUGCUUGUCAUGCCUUGGACAUAUGACCAAACUCGACUGCUUCAGCUAUUACAAUAAAUUAGGAAUUUUAUUUUGCCAGCUGAUGCAUGCUUUCCGGAGAUACUAUGAAUCACUGUUCUUUGUGGGUUCAUCUGAUUUUGGGAUUUGUAACUUUGUAUUGAUACAUUUUUGUUGAAGCUUUAGUGGUCCCUGUGAAGCAUAGUAAGCUUGCGAUAAGUGCCUAUUCUCAACUCUGGCAUGUUUGGAAGAGUGAAAUAUGGUAAUUUUCAAUUAGGGGUGCCGGGAAACUUCCAAAGAUUGGGAAUGCACCAAUUUCAUGAUGGUGGACCUUGUAUUUGCUUCACUCUAAUGAUAGGGGGUUAAGCAAAGGAGGAAGAAGAGAUAGGGAAAGAGGAAGAGAAAGUGGAGAAAGGAGAUAACAAGUGGAAUCCACCCCUAACUUCAAAUAGAAAUAAGUCAAAUAAUCCAAUCUUUACCAUUCACUAUGGCUUUAUAUAGAUAACACUUUCACUGUGGCUUUAUACAGAUAACACAUGGCACUUCAUAUCGUAAUGCAUUAAUGCUUACAACUUUCUAAAAGACAGAUAAUUAAAUACUUUCACAAACACCAAAAGAGACAUGCAUGAACUAUAAUUAAUAAAGCCUAGAAACACUAAAAGACAUUCAACAUUAACAACAUAAUUAUAACAUAAUAACCAUUAGUUAUUAAUUAUUAAUAAAUACUAUUUUGACCAGACUUUUGACUUAGACUGGUAUAGGGGCUCAUGAAAAAUGGGAUGGUCCAACUCUCCUGCGUCAUUCUGGCAAUGACAGUCCAGGAUGCUGAUUAUUUAUAAUAAUUAUAUUGGAGGGUUAAAUAUUGUUGGCAUACCUCGUACCUGGAAGUUCAUACUUGGUGUAAUGGUAAUCUUUACAUUUUGCUGUCUCAUUUUUUGAAAAAUAUUAAAGGUUUAUGGUUUGUUAAUGGUUUGAAAUUCCUACUAUGAGAUGAUGGAAGAUGGAAAGUUGUACACAGUUACUGAGAUUAACUUUUGUUGCUUGUGUUAUUGCUUUCACUACAUCACAUGAGAAAAUAAUUUUAUAUUACUACCAGUUAGUACCCAGAUAUGCUUGAGUUUGAUCUGAUGUGGACCAUCCACCUUUCAUAUCUUGGACUAACACCUGACUUCUUGAAAGUUUGUCAGUUGCCACAUAUCUAUAAAUCAAGGGAAAGUUCUGCAAGACUGUACAGUGUGUGUGUAGUUGGACUUGGCUACAUUUGAGGGUAGCCAGUCCUGGAUCGGUUGUCUCUCCAACCCUUGGAUCAGUGCAGAUCAGUGGGGGUGGGAGAGCCGACCGGAUCUAGGACUGGCUACACUUGAAUGCAGCCAAGUCUCUCUCUCUCUCUNNNNNNNNNNNNNNNNNNNNACUCUCUCUCUCUCUCUCUCUCUCUCUCUCUCUCUCUCUCUCUCUCUAUCUAUCUAUACACACAGACACACACAUAUAAUCCACAACUAUUAGGUGGUACAGACUACAGAGGCACUAAAAUGCAGGGAGCAUUUCACAGUAUAACUAAGAAAGAUCAGUUUUGAUAAUUUAGUACAUAAGAGGAACCUUAAGAAUUGCGCUGGUUUAGGAAAGUGGGUAGUGGCAUUAUGAAAAUUGUAUUGGACUUGUGCCAUGAAGAUUCUAAGAGGUAUACUUGUUUCUGUCAAAUGGUCUACCUGGAGAAUUGUAAGAUGUUAUUCAGAAGAAUUUGGAAAAAUCUUAUUCAGGAUGAUGCUCUUAAUAUGGCUGACUAGUGAAGAAUGAUUAUAAAACUGUGUGCUGGUUAUAGCCUCCAAAAUGAUUAUUGGUCUUUGAAAAUAUUUUUUAUAAUUUAUGUUUGUGAUAUUUUGGUGGUUUCUGCUAUCUAUCUGUAUAAUGGUUCCACUACUGGAUUUGGUUUUAAGAAUGUGGAACAAAAUUGCUUAAAAUUUAAGAAGAAAGAAUUUUUUUCAUUAAAAAAUAAUUGAAGCUUUGAACAAACCAAGUAUAUGCUGUCAUCAGCAUCCAUGUCAUCAUUCUUUGUUUCUUUUGAAUGCUGUGUUGGCUAUAUUAGUUUGUUGCUUGAUCUGAUGCGUUAUUCUUAAGAAUUAUCAUAUUGACUUCAUAUAUUAUAUUAUUGGAUGACAUUUAGGUAAGUUUCUUGACCUGGGUAUUAUUUAUGACUGCAGCUUACUCUCUUCUCAGGAUUUGUCAACUAUCAGAUGGUUCGAGAAGCAUAUGAUGGUGUGUGUUGUACAUGUUUCUCUAGCCAGUUUUUAAUCUUGUCUAGUUGAAAAAUAGUGCUCAUUCUUGGAUGUUUUCUCUCUUGAUGAGGUUCAGCUAGGAUAUUUUUAAAUCUUUUGUUUGUCUGUGUUUUUCUUUUUUUUUUUUUUGUAAGGACAGUGGUUGAUGGUGCUUUUGCGUCUUUAAAUAAGCAAACCUUAGUGUUAAUUAUUAUAUCAAUUAAUUAUUUUAGUAGCAGCUUGGCCAGCAGGUUCAAUAUAUAAUUUUGAGUCGUCAGGGAUGCAAGAAAUGGACUGGGGGUAGGGAGUUGAAUCUUCUUAAAUGAGGACCCAUAUGCUGACUUCUUUAUAAAAGAUUAUUUUAGUAUCAACAAACCAAGGGGUGAAAUAUUAGUAUAAUUUUUCAGGUGGGCUUAUUCCAUCUAUCUGAGCAUGCUUUCCAUUAGUCUGUCUCUAUAUGCUCCUAAAUAUAGCCAUCAUUUCAUCUCAGAAUUUUUUUAAAAAAAUAUAAGUCCCACUUUCAUCUCAGUUUAUUGUCUCCCCUUCCACGUAUAUGUAUAUGCAUACAAAAAUCAAGACUUUCAUCAACUUAGUCAGCUUUAUGUCCUUUUAUAUUCAUCAAUUAUUCUGUUAAAAGCGGCCUCCAAUUGAUUUCCAAGCUUUUUGGGAAUUUCUUUCUGCAGCAUCCAUAUUAGCUUAGAGUUUCCUCUCCUCUUUCUUAAUCCCCACUAAGGUUUGAGUAACUCUGUUUACUAGGAGAACUUCGUUGCACAUGUCCAUAUUAUCUCAAUAGCUUAUCUUUUACUUUCAGUCAAUAUGUCUAGCACCAUGGCUGUCUCUACCAUGCUUAUGUUCAUCCAGCCAUUGCUUAUGUACCACAAAUCCAUGUCAACAUACUCUACCAUGUUCAUCUUUUUUAUUUACUUCUGGAACCACAUGCCAUUGCAGGCCUUAUUGUGUUUUCUUAGAACUUCCCUUGAGUUGUGGAGACAUGAACAGAUCACAUAGCAACCCAGAAACAUCUGUUGAUCUCUAAUUUUAUUAAUAUAUUUUCAUUAAUCCCUCUAGUUUUUCCUUUAGUAUAUUCAGAUACCGGUUUAUUUGUAAAUUCUCCUUUAUGUUGAUUUUAUUGGGAUUGUUUUUACCAGUCUUCAUUGCCAUCUAAGUUUGUGAAUUGCAAUUUUAAAUAUACUAUUCAAUCUUCUAGUUCAAUUGACUUUUAGGCUCCUAUCCUUCAUAAAUGCAUCCAGCAAUCAACCUUGACCUUGUGUCCUUUUGUCAAAUUGUAUCAUAACAAGUAUCAUGCUAGACAGUACAUCUUGAUGAAUACCAGCCUGUAAGUUCAUAUAAGAAGACAAGGGCCUGGAGUCGAUCCUUGGUGUAUACCUCAAAUGUGACUGGAUUUUCACUUGUCUCGCCACAGCCAUCCAUGAUACUUGCCUACUCUCUCUCUAAGUUGAAAGAGAUUAUUUGUAAAUUCUGUUUCUUUUCUCCAAAUAUUCCCAUAGGUUGCCUAAGAGAAAUAAACCUUGACCAUUGACCUUCCUUUCCUAGAUUUUAAUUGGUUCUCUAUAAUUGAGCACUUCUGUAAAUGUUUAUUUCAUCAUUCUUUCCAUUACCUCAUAGUAUAAGUUCAUUUCCAUGAUAUUACUGCUGUUUCCUAAUCUCCUUUAUUCUUGUCCGUGGGUACCAGAUACUUUCCCCCAUCACUUGCCAUUUUCUGAUUCUAAUGUAUCAGUGGAUAAGGUAGAACCAAAUUGAUAUGUUUUGGUCCUUGAUCUUUUGAAGCUCUAUUGAUAUUUCAGGCAGCCCUAGUGCCUUCCCUCUUUUUAUCUAUUUCAUAGCUUUCUCUGUGUACAUUAUCUGAGACCAACAAUGAAGCACCUGGUGACAGUUCUUGUUGUGCUUGGUACGAAAAGGACAAACAUAUGAAAAGUGGAGCUUAUUUGAGCAUCUACUCUGUGUUUCUGAAGCAAACAUUUUGGUGUUUGGCUAAGCAGAUAGCUACUAGGAUAUGAUAAGGCUGGUCUGGCAGUGAUAUGAUGAUAAAAGAAAUGAAGCAUGGAGGCAAGUGAAAUUUACGGUAUCUAAUUCUCACUUGAAGUGCCCUCGGAACCUGUGUGAAGGUUUUGAGACAGUGAUGCCAAGCUCUUGUAUCACUAGACUUGAGGUGAAUGUGUUAAAGCAAUCAUACAAUCUCAUUACUAAAUAGGCUAAAUGAUUUGAACUUGAAAAAUUGAUAGUUGGCAUCUCACACUAAGGAUUCAUGUACAGGAUCUUCUGAAAAUUCUGUAAUCUAUAAUCUAUGCAGAAAGUUUGCUGAAGGAAUGAAAGGCUAGGCAUACAGAGGGCACAGAUAUGUAUUUGUGACACCAUUUAAAACACAUCAUGUGAUGAAUGAAAAUUAUAAAUGUUAAUUGCACUCGAGUUGUUUAUUGUCUAUAAUGCAUAAACAUGUGCACAUGAUAUCACAUUAUCUUAUCCUGAAAAUAUUUAGUCAUUAAAGGGUUAAUAUUGCGAUAUUAUGAUUAAAAGUAAACUAAAAUCCAGUAGCACUGGAAAUUGUAGCUAAAUUUGUAAACUAAUUUUUUUAUAAGCUCUUUUCUUUUAUGAAAAUUGAAGAUGUGUAGGAAGUUAGAUAUCUCUAGACUUUCUUUGGAUAGGAUUGCAUUAUUUUUUUUCCUUUUAUAGGCUUAUUGACUUUUAGCAUGCAAUUUUACUAAUUACCCCAAUUUAUAAGUUAUUUAAUAAGGAAAAUGGAUAUUGUGCUUACUUCAUUCAAAUGGAAGCACAUGAUUUGAGCAAGUUAGGUCAGUCUGCUUUAGUUGAAAUCUAGUAAGUCAAAUUUGUAUUUGUUUAACUUUUGGAUGAAGUACAGCAGUAUAAUAUGCUGGUUAACAUCUUGUUGCAUGUGAUCUGGUUACAUAGGUUGGGGAAUGGAUAUUAAAAGAAAAAAAGGAAAUUUAGUACCAUUUUUCUUCCAUGAAGUUAAAGAAUUCCCCUGACACUCCCAGAUUUGACUCUUAUCUAAUUCAAUUGUAAGGUUUAUUUGCAAUGUUAUUUAUAGGAUGCCUAGCUAUUUAUAUUCCAUUAGCAACAUGCAAGCAAUUUCUUGUUUUGACCAAAACAGUUAUCAUUCAAUAUUGUUUACUUUUUUAAAAUGUUAUGCACCCUUCUGGGAAUGGUUAGUUAUCUAUACCUAGUUUGAAGUAUUUAAUUUACUGUUUCAGCUGGAAAAUCUAGAUUUGGGAGUCUUCUAUCACUUGGUCAUGUUCAGGCUAAAACAGACAGGCUUUACAUGAGGGGUCCUGGAGGGCGUGGGGAAGUUGAAGUUGCUGUUUCUGGAAUAACAGGUUCCUAAAAUUUCUUUCAAUACAUUUUUGAUUGAUUUAUUUCCUCAAAGACAUUUGAGUAAGAUUUUUCAGAUUCAAAAAGUGAUUUUAUGACCUCACGUUUAGUAUAUCGCAUAAAUGUUAAGUUGAAUGUAGGUACUUGUGAAGUUGAAUGCAAAUACUUGAUAAAUUAAAUCUAUUGUCAGUUAUGUGAGCAACCUUGACUUGUGUCUAACAUCCAUGCACANNNNNNNNNNNNNNNNNNNNNNNNNNNNUUUAAGAUGGUGCUAACGGCCAAAAUAUUUAUGUCCGGCGCUUUCUAGAUUAAUCUUUUUUGUUAAUUCUGUUUCUACAAUUGUCGUAGACUGCAGACCAGGUCCUGAUAGAUUCUCUCUUCCAGAGAAUAUUGAAAAUCUUUUUUUUUUCCAUUUGGCUGUAUUUCCUAUUACCAGGCAGAUGGGGUAAGCUUGUUGGCUAUGUUGGAGCAUUUUCAUUGAGAAAAGUAUAUCAAAGAUGACUAUUAAGUAUUUAAUUAUAUUCCCAUCUCCAUCCACCUCCUUCGGCAUGAGUCUACAAAUAAGAAUUGACAAAUGAAACAGUUUGUAUCUUUCGAAUGAGCUUUGUCAGAAAAGAUUCAAUAUAAAAUUGGAAUAGGAUUAAAAUAGAAGUAUAUAACUAUAAGAACUGAUCUGUGUAUUAGAGAGUUUAUAUGGUGUUUAUUCUUUUUAAGUAAACAAGAUGCAAUGGUUUUCUCUCUAUUCUUUCUUCUUUUGCUAAGAGGUAUUUGCAUUUCUUUAUUUUGACCCUAUAGGCUAGCCUUUGGCUCAUUAAUUUGUUAGCUUUUGGUAUAUGGCCAAUCUUAUCCUAGAAUUUCAAAAAUGGUUUAGUGGAUGGUCUGCGACAUAUGAUGCUAAGAUGACUCAUGUGAAUUUAAAACCAGACAUACUCAAAAGUCAAAACCUUGACCAGUGUUGCUAGUAUCUCUAAUAAUGUGCAACUAAAGAGAUCACAAAAUGCUUCAUGUCUUCUAACAAUUGCUAGACCCUUAUUUUUGGGGAGUGGUGUGGGGACUUGGUUGGUUGGCAUGGACUGUACUCAGAUGUUCAACAAGGUGACUGACCUACCUUUCAACCAUCAUAUUUGCAGCAUGAGAAGGGAAAAAUAAAUAUUGUCAGGAUGGCAAUAUGUGAUCAGGUCAGCCUUAAUAUGCUAACAUUAGGGGUUAUGAGUUAAAGCUGCAUAGCCUACUAGCAGGUUGUUGUUGCCUAUACAAACAUGCCAACAUGUUGUACACAUCACACCCAGCUUGCAAAGCCCUUAAAUUUAAUGUCUAAGAUUUGAUGUGUUCCUAGCAACAGGUGCUCAUAUUCCUGUUUUGCUAGUAUCUUACAGAAAACUUGAUAAACUGUGAGAGUUUCACUCUUUUUGUAUGGUCUGGAACACUAAGAGUUAAGCACGGCUUUCUUUCUUGGUAGCAUUGGAGCUAUGUAUGUUAAUCAUGGCCUUCUUUCUUGGUAGCAUUGGAGCUAUGUUUUUUGGCAGGUUAGAUUUUACAAAUAUUUGAUAUGAAAGGUAAUAUAUUUAUAAUUCAAUAUGGUUCUGGGAACAGCAUCUCUCUCUAAACUUGUUUUUAGUGAUGGGAUGGAUUUACCUGCCUGUUAAAAUGACAACUCAGAUGACAUUAAUCACAUCUAAAAUGAUGCUUUUGUUGCAUUGUAGAUCAAAGUCACCAGUAUGCAGGUCCUCCUUCACCACUUCAGUUAUCGAAGAGAGGUUUGAGCAUCGGCCUGGGGACUAUUGUGCAUAGAGCAGCUUCUGCUGCUUCUGAGUUGGCCAAGCAUGCUUAUGGCGGUACCAACAGGAAUUCUGAUUUAGAACUUUUGCCCCUCAAGUGCUGCUUGAUGUCCAUCUCUUUACCUUGGGAAGUUAUUGCACACGACCUUUUGUUCAAGGUGAGUUCUCCGGUGUUGAUACAUAUAACUGAGACCUAUCAUGGUGAAUGUCAAGAAGUGAUUUGCUGGUGUCAGUAUGCUACUCUGUGCUAGCUUGGGUGAUUAAUUACAGUAAUUUUAUUUUCUCCUUAUAAAUUAGGACAUUGCAGUAUGAAGCAUAGAUUGCCAGCAUACCAUUCUGAUACAAAUGUAUCCACAAGUAUAGGUUGUUUAAAGAUGAUGGCGAUAAUUUCCAGAUUCAAUAUGAUGAGCCUAUAAUUAUCUAAAUAACCCCCUAUAAGCUCUUACAGGUAGGGGGAUAGCAUCGUCUACUUCCUGCCUGAUUUUUGGUUUGGCUUUCAGCAUAAUAAUGGAAAACUAUUUCGUACUCUGGGAGUAACCUAAGAGCAAUGCUUUGGACACUCACAAAAGAACCAGAAAUCUCAUCCAAAAUAAGGAGUCCAGCUGGAGCAUGAUUUCAUGGACCUGAGCUGUGAGGGUGUUACACCAAAAGUGGCUCAGUAGUGUGUACGCCCUUUUUUGCUGGGGUGCAUGGCAUCACCCACCAGAUGGAUUCCUUAUUUUCAUAUGAGGGAUGUCUGCUUUUCGCUCCUUUAUCAGUGUCUAAACAUUUCUCACAUAAAUUUAUCAUACUUCCUGUAUUCCUUUAUCCUUCCAAUUGUCAUGGCCUUUCUUUUCCUAAUAUAUUUGUGGCUAUACGUACAAAGUUUCCCUGCUUGACCCAGUUUCCCAAAUAAUCAGUGUUCUCAGGUGCCACUUCACUGGGUCAAGCAUUGUAUUGUGGAUGGCUUUUGUUUGCAACUUUUGGCCAGUUUUUGGCCUUUUGUUUUAGCCUCCGUAUAUGAUGCAUGCAACUAGCAAAGCUGUUUAACCAGUUAUAUCGGUUGCUACUUGAACAGAUGAGGUUGCUCUGGCCUGUACGGGAGCAUAGAAAUUUCAGUUUUCUGAAGUGCAUUUUUUAUUUAUGCAAGUAUUUGUGGAAAUAUGACUAUGCAUGAAUCCAUGUCAUUCUCACAAUCGAGUGACUAGCAGAUGCCAUCUGUUGAUCAACAUUUUGCUGUGAUAGGUUUUGCAUUACAUCAAUCUCAUCUUAAUACAACUGUCAGAAAGACUGUGUUAGAUAACUUUUAGUGUUAGGUUUUAUUUCAGAGGCUGUAUGGUAAAUUUGCUAGUUGCUUUUCUUCUCAGGCAAGCCCUCCGGUGAGUCUCUGAUGGUCUUCACUAUUGUUGCUGGAAUCUUGGUGUUCUGAUAGCAGCCAAGCAGGAGCAGCAAGUUGCCAAUAACCCAUGACUUCAGGAAGAUACCGGUGCUAUAAAAACAACAAUACAAUUUAUGUAUACCAACUCACUUCUGUGCCCUUUGUCUUGAUUUCCAUUUGCUUUAUUUAUUGAAACAGCUUCAGUCAAUAAUAGCCUUAAGGGCGUUUACCUUCUCUUACAUGAAUGCUUUGGAAAACAGCAGAUCAUAUGCAGUUUUUCACUACUCACUUAUCCUGAAUGUAGCGACCAAAAGGCAGAUUAUGCAGAUCUGGGGUAUAGUUUUCACUCAAGAAAAGAAUGCAGAAAGGCCUCUUUGUUGAUCUCUUUUGUGUACCUUUGCUUUCAAUCUUUGUGAUGAUGAAAAGUUUUUUCUUAUAGUAUAUGGUUUUGAUCAUCGAUUAUUGAUCUUUGGUCCCACAAGAAAGCUCAGAAAAGUUCAUGGUCUAGUAGGCGGUCAUGAACUGUGUAAGUGCAGCAAUCAAGCUUGUGAAUCUUGCUUUAGGUUCAUGCAUUUCAAUGGAUUGCUUCGAGCUCUGGAUGUUUUGAUGAAAUAAAAUAUAAAAAAAAGUGAAAGGACAUGACUGUGUAUACCAAUUAGAAGAGAACUUUUGUCAUGGAAGGACUUGUAAAUGGCUGGGCAAGAUUGACGUGAAUGUUGCAGCAUCUUUAAGCAGCAAUUGUUUAGGUUGACAUCCCCAUGUGGCAGGUUGGCAGCCUCCUAAUGUUGAUUGAUAUAGAAUCUCAUAGUUGAUGGGACUCAAAAGUUGGUAACUAUUCGAAAUCUUCCGCAUGAUAACCCAUCCGAGAUUCCAUUAAUGCCUGAAUCUGCUAAAUAAUUUCUCAUGCUGGAUUAUUUCUUGUUUAGAGAAUAUAUAAACACUUCAGGACGUCAUAUUAUGACAUGGCUUGUUGCCAAAGCGGUUACAUCUGAUUUUGACUUUUCAAAUGAGCACGAUUCUUCUUGCAAUUGGAGCGAGUGCCCCAGUUUGUAUCUAACAGUUGCGAGACACACCAUCGCUUAUUACAUGAUUCAUUAUGGGAGUCUCCGAGCAACGGUUGGAACCAUAAAUUCGUUAUUGUUUAAUUGUGAAGUCCCAUUUAUAAAUUCAAAAUCCUCCUUCAGGUGGUACUGCAAGAACCUGUAGGCCAGCUAGCAGCUCCAGUCCAUGUAAUCUACUGCUACACCAAACCGAACCAAACUGUCAGAUGACUCAUGACUCAGCCACAGUAAUCGAAUGGAUUUAGGGCUGUCACAGUGUUGAUGGGCAACACCUGCUGCUUCGGGACAUAUGCAGAACUUCGAAGGAGCUCGACGCUUUUCGGGCCACGCAUGUCUUCUAAAAAGCGAAUAGAGCUGUUGACUGAGUUACGUCCUUUGCCGCGCAUCACUCGGAAAGUUUCCUUUGAGAGAGCAUUGAGGCCAUUCAUCUCACUUUGCGUCAACUUCUUUUUUCAGAUUGUUCUAGGUGUACUCAUGCUCGUCUGGUAUGAGUCGUCGGCGAAUAAAAAAAACAACAAACUGCCGGUAUUUCUACAGGGAAGGAACGGGAAAUCCCUACCUCUUUACACCAAACUGAACCAAACCGCCGGUCUAUCUACGGGGAAAGAACAAGAAAUCCCUACUUCCUUGCACCAACUGAACCAAACCGACCGCCAGUCUUUCUACGGGGAAGGAACAGGAAAUCCCUACCUCCUAGUUAAAGCUAGCAUUGACGACGCUGGACCAAAACAACCUCCCAACCUCACCAAAAGGAAUCCUACACUAAGAAACCCAUGCUUUUAUAUCCCCUCGAUUUCAAACAGAAGUGACCACUUUCCCUUUCCCAACUCCAAAACAACGGGCUUUAUCCUUGGUAUCCGAACACACCAUGUGUUUUCUGCCCUUUGUUGAGGUAGGCUCUCUUUUGGACCCAUAUACACGUGGGCCAUCCUUUUUUACCCAGGAAGCCAUUUUCCCUUAGAUUCCCGUAAAAUCCUGAAAGCCAUAAAGCCCAUAAAGCUGGUGGGAACAAGCCAUUUCUUUGAAACAUGAUUCCCACUCUUUGGAGGUGGUCUAAAAGCUUUUGUGAGAACUUUUGUUAGGGCUGAGGAUGAUACUUGGCCAUUCUUUAGUUCAUCGGAUAUCGACCAAGGACAAGCUCCAACUAAGAACGUAUCUUUAGCCUAGAAUUAGACGCUUGGCAAGAGCGGGACAGGUGGAUCUCCAGGUGGCUAACAUGUAUUUGAGAGAGAAAGGGAAGGCAAAAGCAGCAGUCUUAGCAUUUUAAAGCAGGCCGACCCACCUCCUCCAAUGUUUUCCCGACCACUGCAAGUCUUCAAAGACCUAGGAGAGAAAGGUGAGGCCAUUGGAAAAAAAGUGACUAGCUUCUGAGGCCCGACUAAAUCUUUUCAUAUGGAUCUCGUGCCAACCACCCGUUUCCGUCCCACUCCUUCCCUCAUUUUUUCCAAAUGGCACGGUAUUAAUUAAUACCUCGCCAUCAAGCAUCCAUGGAAUAAUGUACUUGAUGGAUCAAAAUAUGAGAGGCCCUUCAGAACUUCACGGUAGCUUGCCAUAUAUGGUCCCCAUCAGAGUGAGAUUGGGUUAACUUGGGAGCUGUCAGACGAGUGCUUCGGCACUAACUUAAAAUAAGACCAUGUCAUUCCCGUGUUUUGUAGUGAUAUAUUACGUGUGGAUAUAUACAUACAUGCAUGCAUAUAUAUAUAUAUAUAUAGAGAGAGAGAGAGAGAGAGAGAGAGAGUNNNNNNNNNNNNNNNNNNNNNNNNNNNNNNNNNNNNNNNNNNNNNNNNNNNNNNNNNNNNNNNNNNNNNNNNNNNNNNNNNNNNNNNNNNNNNNNNNNNNNNNNNNNNNNNNNNNNNNNNNNNNNNNNNNNNNNNNNNNNNNNNNNNNNNNNNNNNNNNNNNNNNNNNNNNNNNNNNNNNNNNNNNNNNNNNNNNNNNNNNNNNNNNNNNNNNNNNNNNNNNNNNNNNNNNNNNNNNNNNNNNNNNNNNNNNNNNNNNNNNNNNNNNNNNNNNNNNNNNNNNNNNNNNNNNNNNNNNNNNNNNNNNNNNNNNNNNNNNNNNNNNNNNNNNNNNNNNNNNNNNNNNNNNNNNNNNNNNNNNNNNNNNNNNNNNNNNNNNNNNNNNNNNNNNNNNNNNNNNNNNNNNNNNNNNNNNNNNNNNNNNNNNNNNNNNNNNNNNNNNNNNNNNNNNNNNNNNNNNNNNNNNNNNNNNNNNNNNNNNNNNNNNNNNNNNNNNNNNNNNNNNNNNNNNNNNNNNNNNNNNNNNNNNNNNNNNNNNNNNNNNNNNNNNNNNNNNNNNNNNNNNNNNNNNNNNNNNNNNNNNNNNNNNNNNNNGUACUAUAUAUAUAUAUAUAUAUAUAUAUUGAGGGCUUCAUAAAAUUGUUGAGAGAGUGACUUUAUAAUGGUUAUUAGAUGGCUUUGUGAUCUAUCUCUUGCCGAUGGUAGUUUGAUCCAUAAUUACAUAUUUGUUAGAGAAUAAUGCGCUCAUUACUCACUAUUGAUGUCUCUCAUAUUUAUAGAGAGGCUAAUCGUGCUUUUCAUUAGAUAGUAUCUUACGCAACUAUAAACUAACCAUAAGAAACAACACUGUGAGUUUCUUCGGUUGAUUUUUCUGUUCAGUUUAAAUAUUUUAGCUGCAGAUUCUCAUGAAUGUAUCUGUUAGCAUUUACUUUAAUUAAUGCAUCCAAUUUAUCAAAAUGAACGGCCUUACUUUAAUAAUAAUAAUAAUAUAAUGCCUCCAUGAUUCUUUUAAUAUUAUUACAUUCCAAUAGACUAAGCGAGGGGAGCAUUAGCCUUGGCAAGGUCUAUGAUGUAUGAUCCAUUAUCAUAGCACCAACCAAACAUGGGAUUCACUUCAUUUGACCAUGUUAUAUGGGGCACAAUAUUCAUGCCUCACUGUAGUUAUGUGGGCCCAACCUUCACAUUGGGUCGAUCUAUCAUAAAACAGACAUAUUCAGAUCCUCAAAAAAUAGUUGACUUAAAUAAAUUCUGACCUAAGGGUAGCAAUCAAGCCAGAUCGGAUUAUAUAUGGAUCGAGUUAAAUGCAAGUUGGAUCAAAAAGUUCCAAAUCUGAACCGAACCUAUUUAUUAGAUAGGUUAGAAUUUGAAACCUGAACUUACUAUUUUAAUAAACAGGCAAUCCAGCAUAAUUUAUUUAACUUGUUUAAUAAACAAAUAACCUGCCUAAUCUAUUAAUCUGUAUAACCUCUUAGCUUGUAUAACCUUUAUAAUCUAUUGAUGUGUUGACCUAUUAACUUGUUUAAUAAACAUGUAACUUGCUUAACCCGAUCAAAUUUAGUUAUUAAACGGAUUAAACAUCUUAUAUGGGUCAGGAGGCUAGAACUUGAACCUGAUUCAAUUAUUUAAGAGUUUAAAUGGGUCAAUUUAUUUACAACCUGAACUUAUUUGGCUCAAACCCAAACCCACUUAUUGUAUCUUAAAUAUAGAUUGGAUCAUAUUUUGCUAGUUUUACUAUAAUCUUAGGGCUGCUACAUAAAAUGAUUUAAGUGUCCGCAAAUGGCCCAAUAUUAUUAUUCUCAAGAUGGCCUAACUCACAUGGCGACUCUAGAUUGACCAACCAACGAGUGACGUGCUGAAACAUCACUUCUCUAUUGGGUUUUUUUUUUUUUUUUUGUACAAGUAAAACUGAUGAAUUAAAUUAUUCACAUACAGGUACAUCGGUGAAGCCAGAGAAAUAAAAUAUUUAAAAAUUAAAAGCUCAUUUUUUUUCUUUGAAAAAAAUAGAAAUACACACUUCAAUUAAAAAACCAUGUUUAGUUGCCCUAUUUCUAUUUUUAUUUUUUUUAAAACAACUUCCAUUAUUUAUGCAAAAAGUAAAAUAAAAAUUUUACUUUCAUUUUUUUUAAAAAAUGAAUUCCACUCUUCUCCCUCCAGCCCCUCUUCUUCCGCACCUAAUUUAGCCCUAUUGCUCUCGUCCAACUACAUCGAUUCCUCAAGUCUCGCUGGCCAUCUCUUGAUCCGAUGUCAAGCUAUCUCUCACAUUCGACUUCUCUUCAUUUUUUUUUUAUCUAUCUUUCUUUUGACUGUCUCUUCGCCUGGUAUUGGGCUUUUCUUUAUUUUUGACCACAUCUUUAGCCCUAUCAUCCCUUCCUUCCCCUCACCCAUAUUAUCGCUCCUGCCAUAAAUAAAAAAAAUAAACCAAAUAUAUAUACUGUUACCAAAAAUUUAAAAAAAUAGAAAUAAAAUCUCUAUUUAAAAAAUUAGAAAUAAGAUUCUUAUUUUCAUAUUCUUUUUUGAAAAAUAGACAACAUACGCAGCCUAAAGGAGAAGAUCGAAUCCUUUAAAUGAAAAAAAAAUAAAUAAACUGGAAAACACCACGCCCUUUGGCUCUUUUUCUUAGCCACGAAGCUAAUAUUCUCGUGCUGGGUCACACCAACCCUCAAAAGAAGACGAGAGUCGAAAAAGAUUUUCUAUUGUAUUCCUCGGAUACAGUAUUUCUCUAAGAACAGCCGGGACAACGUUAAUUUUAUCUCAGCCGUUCAUGUUCCAGAAGUUCUCACUUACAGAGGGCUACGAUAGGCGAAACGGUUGCUAUGCUGUUUGGAAGCAAACAGCGGUUCAGCUUCCACCUAGUUGCUAGUGCACACUGACUCAAGCGGGACCCGCAGGAUACGGGCAUCGGGGCUCCCCUUGAUGACACGUGGAUAUCCUGUGCUGCUAUGUGGGCCCCGCCCUACACCGAACUCCGUCCAUAAAUACAUCUCCCCUCCACCGCUAUUCUUCCCUUUCCCCCCGCUCCCUCCCUCCUCUAUUUGCUUCAACACCGGUCCAUUUUAUCGGCUCGGUACGGUUCUUUUCGGUACCGUCCGGUCCGUCACCAUGUUCGCCCUCGAAGAAGCCCUCGACUUCCCGCUCCUCGAACAAGUCCUCGACGGUGAUUUGGGGUUCACCCCGUGGGAAACCCAGCCGACCCCGGCUCAGGAAACGUCUGCCCAGACCGGCCCUAAACCCGGACCGGACGAACCGGACCGGCCUCUGUCCCUGGCAGAGGAAAGACGCCGCCGGCGGAUGAUCUCGAACCGGGAGUCGGCCCGGAGGUCCCGGAUGCGGAAGCAGCGCUACCUGGAGGAGCUCCGGGCCGAGGUGAACCAGCUCCAGUCGGAGAACCGGGCCCUCGAGAACCGGCUUGGCGCCCUCGUCCGCUGCUGCCUUCUCUUCCGCCGCGACAAUGACCGGCUCCAGUCCGAGUCGGCCGCGCUCCACCGCCGGAUAUCGGGGCUCCACCGUAUCCUACUCCUCCGCCGGCAGCUCCACCGCCUGUCGUCGCCUGCCUCCGCCGCCGUCUGCGGCGGCUUCGCCCCGGGAACCGACCAGACCGUUGCGUCGCUAAUCGUAUAAAACGCUAAAAAAAAAUCGGGAAAGGAAUUCGUUAACGAGGAAACGGCCAAACCGGACUGCUGGACUGGAGACAUAUAAAACCGCUAGUGUUCUGGUUUUGGUCAUUUAACGUCGGAAAAGUAUCGUCUGCUUUCCGUUUUUCCUUUUUUUUGGGUCUUUUUAUUUUUUCACUCUUUUUUUUUGGUUAAAAUCGGUCUGUGUAUAAAGCUUGGGUACCAUUGGGCUGUUUUAUUCGCUCAGACGUUUUGUUCCAAUGUGUUCUAAAAACGCCUUUUUGGCAUCCACAACCUUCUCGAAGAAAAACACGACGAGAAUGACAUCGUCAUCCUGGAAAAUUGAACUAGUGGAGGUGCAUUUACCUGGAACUUGGGGUCUUGGGGGAGAUGGUGGGCUACUUUUGGGUCCACUGAAAUUAAAUUACUGACUCUUAGUUUUGGACGACAUGAAGGACGUAUCACCAGUUCUUUGGACGUGUUUUAUAGCUGCCUCUCACUCCUACGCCAUAUACUUUUCAUCAACUUUAUUGGUUGCACUUAUUCUAGGGCAGUGUGAACAUCCGUUAAUAAAAAAAAAAAAAAAUCAUACAUGAUGCCUUAGUGCAUAUGGGCCCCACUUCUGCUGUUAUGUGCCACGGUGGUUUGGCCCUUUGUUGUCAUAAUUAGGUUCCAUGUCUUUGGUCAGGAUGUUACUGCUUUCGUUGAGCUGUUGUGCCAUAAAGUUGGUAGAAUUGCAAAGAAAUUUCUGAGUAGGCCAAUUAGUUUAUCAUGUUGCUGUCUUCUUGUCGACCCAUCCCGGGCACUUGUGCAGAGAAUCAUGGCGGAGAUGAAGGUGAUGAUGGGAUGUGCUUGACUAGGCAACGAGAAAGUAGGUCUGGAGCUGCAUGGAAAUGGAAGUUAUAACAAUCUACAGCACACAGCCUUGUGCUCAGUGACAUAUCUACUGCACCAGAAGUGUUCAUGUAGACUACAGAGAGGCAACCUUUUUUUUUGUGCAUGGUUUGUAGGCCAUACACGUUCUCUGAAAUCUCAAACUAAGUAUUUGUUUGUAAUAUAAUCCGAGAACAUUCAAAUAACUAGGCACCUAAAAAUAGGAUGACAUCUCUUCUUCAUAUCUCCAUGCUUAUGUUCUGUCAUGGCUGAAAACAAUACCAUCAUGAAAGCAAAUCGGCCAGGGUUUGCAGCUUAAGAGGUAACAUAUGGCUUUGAUGGCAUCAGAACAGUGAAAGGAAAAUAUAAGCUCCGCCUUCGCCUUGCCUUGAUAUAUUUGCAACAAGAUUCCGAUGGCUGUUAUAUUUUGUUUUCCUUUUUUAUUUUGGUUUUAUCAAGAGUGUUAAAAUCAUAUGAUUGAUUAAGAUCAUGAUUGAUUAUGCCAAACUUAGUUGGCCUCACUAAAUUUCAUCUUGAUUGAUUUAUGAUUGAUUGUGCCAAACUUAGUUGGCUUUACCAAAUUUCGCCAGCUUCCUAGUCUAUAUAAAGGCUGCUCCUGUAUAUUGUAACAGACAUGCAGAAAUACAAUUCUCUUUUCUAAUUCUUCAAUUUCAACAAAGAGAACAUCUAGGUAUAGUCUCAUGAAAGAAAAAUAACUUGCUUAUACAUCUUUCGAACAUGAUUGUGAUAGAAACAAAAAACUUAUAUUUUGUUGGUAUCUUUCUUGUGCAUCAUGCGAACAUAAAAUGGAUAGUUUUCAUUGUACUAAUGCGCUAAAAUACUUGAUAAAGCAUUUAAAUUAAGAUUUCAUCUUAUUGAUCAUGAUUUACAUAUAUUAAAAUCUAAAUAGAUUCAAUAGCUUCUUAUGCUUAGAUCAUCGCAAAAUAUGGUUUUAUAUAUAAUUUUAAUCAUUCAUAGUUGCACCCACAUGAUGUAUAUUUUAGAGACCAUCAAAGUAUAUUAUUUUUUUUAUUUUUAGGUAUUUUUAGAUAUACAAAUUAUGAUCGAUGGUGUAGAUCUUCAAUUUGAAUGUCCUAUCUUUAAUUUUGGAGUAGAGAGAGGUUAAUACUCCCUCCUCUCGAGAUGAAUAUAAUCUAUCUAUAAUUAGUUGGCAGGCUUGGAACAAAAUUGGAAUAUUGGAAAAUAGAAAGAUAUUUACAUCAAAUGUGGUCAGUCUAUUAAAAAAAUGAGCACGAGGUAACAUUCAUACAUGACAUGGGCUGAAAUUGAGGCUUUCCAUUAGUCAAAGUGGGCAUUAUAGCGCUUUUGUAUUCAUGUUUUCCGUCUUAUAUGUCCAUUACUCUCACUUUAUAGCUUAUAUAUAGCAUGCGUAAAACUCAAAGCAACAAAGAUUGCAUAUGUAGUUUGCCAACCACCAAAAAAAAAAAGAAGCAUAUACCACUCGCACCCUUUAUUCUUGCUGACCAAUGGAGCUUGCCUAUAUUUUUUUUCCCCUUCUUUUGCAUAUGAUUAACAGACUCAUAAUUAAGCCUCAGAAAUUAAUCAAUGGAACCUAACAUAAUCCACCAUCCACUUAAGAAGAUACUUUUAAAUUUGUUUCUUGCACCAACAUUAUUUUCGUGAAUUAGUGCCGUUUUAGCUUUCAUAUAAGGCAUAUAAAACAGUCAUGUCGAUGUGCUAUGGGGAGGAGGCACCGCCAGUCAUAAUCGCAUCAUUUAAAACUACGAAUGGAACAUAGAUGUGGGUGCAAAUGUUUAAGCCUUGGGACGGUGAUUUGAUUGUCCUUUUCGGCUAAAAAAGCGGUGCUUAAAUAAACCAUGAAGGACAGUUCUUUUAAUGGGUGGAGUCUUGGAUGCAAUUAAGGGCAACAAAUGGAAACUCUUGGCAUAUUAGACAGCUUGGUUGAACUAAUCUGGUCUCUAACUGGUGUUUCCAAUGAUAAUGGGUGCCUGCUUUAAAUCUCCACAUUAGAUUCGGUGACGCCCUCAUUCUUUUUUUUCAAUCCCUGUCUUUAUGUAUGCCAGUAAAAGAAUCUAAACAAAAGAGUGACGUACGCCUUUCAUAUUUGAAAUUAGGUAGGAUGGGAUCUAGGAGAGGUAGCGAGUAAAGGUUUUGUCUAUGUAAGAAAUCUAAAUGGUAUCUGUGUCCCAAUAUCCAUGGAGAUGACUACUGGAUGGAAGGGUUGCUAUGCCCCUCAUCAGAUUCUUAUGAUCUAAGGAAUACGACUCGAAAACUUUAUUGAGACUUGAGAUCUAAGAAUGUGGUCUGAGUUACAUCAUGUGGUCUGAGUAUUCUAAUCUUUUCGUUAUCAAAAAGUAAGGAGCAUAGAUUUAAUGAAAGAACAAAGAACAAAGAACAAAAAUGAGAUCUGACCAGCCAUGCCCAUGAGACCCAUCAAGUUUAUAUCAUAUUAACCAUAUGAUGAUAAUCUACAUCUGAUUAUAAACUAUAUAGAUGUUAUAGUCUUGCUCUCGGAUGACAUCCUCCUAUCAUCUUCAUAUAAUUUCACCAUUUUAUCUGUUAAAAAAUUUACACAUGCUCUUGGUUUUUUUUUUCCCUCUCUCUUUUGGUAAAGACACAUGAACUUUUAGAAAGAGUGCUUAAUUAACUGUUUGGUAGUCCAACGAAAACUGAAAAAUAUAGACAAACACACUUGACACAAAGUUUGAUUUAAUUGCUCAAUUACCAACAUCUACCAAAGAUCCUCUCAACCUCUUAGAUUUCACUUGUUUGUGAAUUGUGAUAGAUGCCUUCAUCUUGAGUGUUCUUUGUGUUCAUUCGCUAUCCAUACCAUCAUCAGUUUAUUAAGACAUGAGGUGAUUAAGACUUUAAAUAAGAUUGUGUUAGGUGUAUUAGAUGAUAAGGAAAAUGAAAAAAUUCGCAAUGUUAAAUUUUUUAACUGCACAUUUGUUUUUGAGUAACGAAGCACUAGAAACAAUCAUUUUUUUUUUUUUGGUUCAAAACGGUAUUUCAUUUCAAGUACCUCUAACGUGAAUACAACCUGCCAUAUCAAAGGAAACUAAACAAAAUAAGGAGUGUGGGAUGCACUCUAAGCUAGUCCAGAGAGACUCCCCCGAGUGCCGAGCGACAUAGGAGGCGACCCAGUCUGCUGCACUGUUCGCCUCCCGAUAUACAUGAGAAAUCUGACAGAAGGUCAGCUCCCGCACCAAUCUACGCGUAUCCCGUAUCAGGGGGUGGCCAUCCCCAUAUGUAUCAAUACCUCGUAUCCAAUCAAUCACCGUGGAUGAAUCACCCUCGAGGCAGAGGCAAUCGGCCCCCAACACCCGUCUCGCGUACAAAAUGCCCUCCCAGGCUGCCCGCAUCUCCGCUCCCACGACAGUCGUGCCCGGUGUACUCCGUCCUCCAGCAGCUACAAGACUGCCUACAUGAUCCCUGAUCACAAAGCCCACGCCCCCGGAGGCGCCAUCCUCUGCCAUGCCACCAUCGAAAUUCACCUUAAGAUAACCAGGGGGUGGGGGUACCCAAGAAAAACAUCGAAACCUGGACGCUGAGACAGCAAUACAGGUACCCCAGAUGUCCCUGGCCCUCUCAGGUGGAUACGAUGAGGCCAUCAUAGAUGCCUCCGCCGCCUGCCGUAGAGCUCUCUCAAUCACAACUCGAGGAGAGGAUCGCCCGCCCUCGAACACAUGAUCGUUCCUAUCCAACCAAAUAUGAUAGGCUAAGUAAGCCACUAUAGUACCUGUCUCAGUAGAGCUCGGUCUCCGCGUAGACUCACGCAGGUACCCAAGCAUAUCCUCCAACGUCUCCCACAGCGGAGGAAGCAGCGCAGAUGUACGUCUCCAACACUGCAGGGCGAUAGGGCAUCGAAGCAGUACAUGGCUAAUAGUCUCCUCAGCAUCCAGGCACCUCUCGCACUGUAGAUCCAAUCUCAUCCCCCGCCUAACCAAAACGCUCCUGGUCGGAAGGCAGCCCCAGGCCACCUUCCAAAGAAAGAGCCCCAGGCCCCUGGUCGGAAGCACUAGAAACAAUCAUUGCUGGCCACUAAUUCCAACCAUGAAGGCAUUUAUUCAUAAAUUUCUCACCGAAAAAAAACACAAAUAGGGUUAUACACAGGUUAAUGCUUGCAACCAUAUAAUUUUAGGAAGAGGUUCUGCUCAUGCUACUCGACAUGAUUCUCCAUUUUUUGGUAUGAAUUUUUUCCCACUAUUUCUAUGAAAUAUUUUUAUGCUGAGAAGAUAAUUGCUAAUCUUCUAGCCAAGAAAUUGUGGCUAAGGCCUUGUUUGUAACACAUCAUAUUAUUCAAACAGUUGAGAAAAGCAAAGCCAAUGACUCGAGAGAGGAAAAACGAUAGCUUUUUUUUUUUUUUUGGUCAAAUCGGCGUCUCACUUACAGUGCGAGUACGCCCCGAACAGUCAAAAAAGAAAAAAAAAAUGAUAGCUUUUAUAGAUCAGUUUGGCUUUAUGUUGGUUUACAGAAGAUGCAUUUAUAAAAUUUCUACAAUUAUAUGUAAAAUUUAAGCUAGACAUUGAAAUUCAAGCAAGAUAUUUUUGUACCCCUCCAAACCUCUCUUCCCUGCCCAGUCAAACCAUCUAUGCCUGCAAAUACAAUCUUUUCCAACAUUUUAACUGGAUGAUUUAUUGGGCCCUGGCUUGAAUAAUCCCCGGUGCAGACACUGUCCUAUCAUAAUCCCUCCUCCGCUAACCUUUUUAGGGUUGUAAUUGGAUUGGUCAUCCCAUGACUUGACUUAGUCCCGACCCAAUCUUAAUUUUAGAUUAGGUCUUGUAUUUUUCAACCUAUUUUGUUCCAAUUCAUCCGGAUCCAAAAAAUCUGGAUAAUAUAAGUUCUUUCACAUUCGCUUGAAUUCUCUAAAUAUCUUUUCCAAUUUAUUUAAUAAACUCCCAUCUAAACAAAGUCUUUUUUUUUUCCUCAACAACUACAUCUUCUCUCAUCUAUUUCCAAUUUCUUAUUAUUUGUUUUGAUGGAUUAUUAUUUAUAAUACCCUCAAGCACAUCAAUGUAUAAAAAAUUAUAGUUUGUAAACUAAAAAAUAAUCAAUGACCUAAAUAAAAUUAAAAUUUUUUGAAUGAAAAUUCAAAUUUAAGCCGCUUCUUUUUAAUUUUAUUUGUUUUUUAUAAUUUUAAUUAAUUAUCUAUUAUUAUAUUUUGGCUAUGAAAAAGUAGCUAAAUGUUUGACUCAACUUGCACAACCUUAUCCGAUCCCAACUGAACUCGAACAUUUCUGUUUGGGUUUGUAUAAUAAUUAUAACAACCGAAGACCUCACCCAACAUGGCUAGCCGGAAGGUAUUAUUUGGAUUUCUUUAUCCUGUACAAGUACCCAAAAUCUACCUAGCAAAUAAUCAAUGUGGAACUAAAUACAUGUCCGUAUGGGUCCUCGUAUACUUUCCCGUUCAAGCUCUGACAUCCUCGUUUGAUUAAAAGUUCAAAUUCAUUCAAAUCUAAUCACAAAUACCAAGAUCAGCUCGUGGUCAGUCCCAAUAGAUCCGCGCAGCUAUGUCCCCUAGUCCACAUAGGUUAUGGGUCGGGUUGGCUCUGAUACCAUUUGUAACAAUCGAGGACUUCAUCCAAAAUGGCUAGCCGAAAAGUAUUAUUUGAGUUACUUGAUCUUGUAUAAGUAUCCAAGAUCUAUCCAUCGAAUAAUCAAUAUGGGACUAAAUACACGUCCGCACAGAUCGUGAUAAUAAUAGUCCCUGCUCUGACAUAAAUAGUCUGUCGGAUUUUUUUUUUCUUGGAUUCAAUCAAAUUUGACUUGAUCAGCUAAUAAGUUGGAUUCGAUUUUCAGCUAGGAUCCAGCGUGCUCCCGUCCAGCCCAACCCGUUGGCAGCUUUUUAAACCUUUCGCACCACUACUUCAUUCACCACUCUACCAGCGGUUUCCCGACCCAAAAACCAAACUCAAAAAUCCCGCCUCUCUCGUCCCUCGACANNNNNNNNNNNNNNNNNNNNNNNNNNNNNNNNNNNNNNNNNNNNNNNNNNNNNNNNNNNNNNNNNNNNNNNNNNNNNNNNNNNNNNNNNNNNNNNNNNNNNNNNNNNNNNNNNNNNNNNNNNNNNNNNNNNNNUCCACCUCCUCGACGCACCCCCACUCUCCGGCGUCUCCUUCGCCUUCGGUACUUCUUCUUCCCGCCCGCCAAUCUCCCUCCUCCUAACCCUAACCCUAAUCCCGAUCUCCUUCUCCUCUUAGAUCACGUCUUCGAUCAGAGCUCCACCAACGCCACCGUCUACGAUCUCCUCAUCAAAUCCAUCAUCCACGCCGCUGUCAAUGGAUUCAACGGUAAAAGUGCUCCAGUUCCUCUUUAUCCCCAAGAUAUAAGCUCGAUUGGUUUCUGACUAAUCCUGUCCUGCUACUUGUUAUCCCGAAGGCACUGCUUUUGCCUACGGGCAGACCAGCAGCGGCAAGACGUUCACCAUGAACGGCUCCGAAGAUGACCCCGGAAUAAUCCCUCUCGCCGUCAAAGACAUCUUCCACACCGCCCAGAUGGUAUAUGAUUGACUUUGGUUUUUCUAAUUAGCUUGGAUUUUUGGUUGUGUGUAUGAGUUUUACCUUUUUGGCGUGAACAUUGGAAGCAGACCACGGAUCGGGAGUUCUUGAUUAGGGUCUCGUACAUGGAGAUCUACAAUGAGGAGAUCAAUGAUCUCUUGACGCUGGGGAACCAGAAGCUUCCGAUUCAUGAGAGCUUGGAGGUAAGAUGAUAUUAAUACCAAGAUUUCAGAGAGGUUUUUUUUUUCCAUUUAAAAGAAGAGGAGAAUUUGGAGAGGUUUACGGGUUUGUUAUUGUAAAUUUGUCUAAUUUUGUUGUAAAUGUAGCGUGGGAUUUUUGUAGCGGGUCUCCGCGAGGAGAUUGUGAACAGUGCGGAGCAAGUAUUUGAGCUUAUCAAACUAGGAGAAGGUCUAACUAGUCAUGUUUUUGAAUUCUACCCUAAGUCCUUUUUUUUCUGAAAUAAGUAAUGAGAAAUGCUACCUUUUUUUGGAUAUAGCAAAUCGGCAUUUUGGGGAAACCAACAUGAAUGUGAGAAGCAGUAGAUCACAUACCAUAUUUAGGAUGGUAUAUCGCUCUAAAUCCUGUUUUGUUUUUCCUUUUAACUUUCUUCUUUCAUGCUAUUCUUUACAAUUUUAUUUCAAAAUCAAUAAUAUAUUUUCUAAUAAUUUUAGGUAAUUGAGAGCAGUGUGAAAGAUCCCAUUUCUUCUGGUGAUGUUUCUAAUGCAGAUGCAAUCCGUGUAUCUGUCUUGGUCUGUAACUUCAGCAUCAAAUCAACUUUAUUACCUAGACUGCUUAUAGAGCAGUGUCACAAAUAAGUUUGUUAUUUUCUUAUGUUGUAGAACUUGGUAGAUUUAGCUGGAUCAGAGCGGAUAGCUAAGACAGGGGCUGGAGGAGUACGUUUGAAGGAAGGGAAGCACAUUAACAAGAGUUUAAUGAUUCUUGGUAAUGUGAUCAAUAAGCUGAGUGAAAAUGGAAAGCAAAGGUACCCAAUUAUCAUGUGAUCAGUUUGAUCAAUCUCUCUAUUCCAACUUUAUCUAAUUCCGCAUUUAAGUUCCCGCAACUUAGUUACUAAAUUUUACUUGAACAUUUAUAUAUAUCAUUUAAGCAGAAGAAACUAUUUUAUUGUAUGUUAACUAUAUCUAGGUUGCAAAUGAUUGUCUGUAAAUGAUUCCAAGUUUUAAAUUUCCCCACAACUUAAUUAUGUUGAAAUAUUUUCUAUUCUAUCAAGCAUUGUCAAAUGGACUUGGAUAUCACCAUACUUGGAAUUCUCCUGAAAUAGUGCCUUUACUUAUGAAAUAUCAUGAAAUUUUAGACUAUAUUAGAUCAUAUUAGAAACCUAGUUUUCUAAGAUGAGAACAAUGCUGAUGUAGGGGGCAUAUCCCAUAUCGUGAUAGCAAGCUGACUCGCAUUCUCCAACCUUCUCUUGGUGGUAAUGCCAAAACUUCUAUAAUCUGUACGGUUGCACCAGAGGAGGUAGACCUCUAGCAUAAUCAUCUGUUUCUUUUACUGAAUUAUGGUUGUCUGCCUUCUGUCAUUUACAAGUUCAAUUUAUAGGUUCACAUAGAGGAAAGUAGAGGAACCCUCCAGUUUGCAAGCGGAGCUAAACGCAUUACGAAUUGUGCUCAAGUAAAUGAGGUUGGUUCUGUGAUCCCUUUCACUCCGUAAUUCAUGACUUGUGCAACAGUUAGCAGGAGGCUUGAAAUCAGGGCUUUUAGUUAUUAUUUGGCACCUAAUUUUGAUAUUGGCAAACUUUUGUUUCUUACAUUUUAUUGGGUAAUAAUUGCAAUAGAUAAGAAAUCAUUGUCUUUGUAUCUAUGUGUGCUUGUGCAUCCAUUAGAGUCAGUGUUUAUCUUCAAACUCUCAGAUGCAAAUGAAUGUGGAUGUCUUGUUUACUAUUAGCCUCUCUUCUGGCCAAGAGCUUCUUUAUUACAUAAGGCAGCAUUUGGUUUAGGCAUGAAGUAGGCAUUGGGUUUGGAAUAAGUGUUAUGCUUACCAAACAACAUUUGGGAAGGAGGCAUAACCAAGACAUAGUUAUGCUGAUUAAACUUGCUUUACACAAGCAUAACUAUUCCAAGGAGGAGUUGUUGUAAACUCUUCCUUGGCAUAAAGGCACCUGAUACCUACUUUUUCACUUUGUUAUGUACAAAAGUUCAUAACUAAAACUUAUUCCAAAAGAUCUCUUUUGCUGUUCAAAAGUGUCACCAAAUAAAAACUAGCAUAACUCAUGUCAUAACUAUUCCAAUGGGUAUAAUUUUUUCUAUUCCUAUUUUUCUUAUUCCCAAACCAAAUGCAGCGUAAAGAAAUAAAUUUGUAUUUUAUUGUUGUUGUUGAUGCUUUAUUGAUUAUACAAAGGCAAGAACUUUUGCUACUCCAUGCCUGCCACUUGGUUUGUUCUAAUUAUUGCUGGUUACGUAAUAGAUUCUGACUGAUGCUGCACUGCUGAAGCGACAAAAACUAGAGAUUGAAGAGCUCCGCAGAAAACUUCAGGUGAUUUUUUUAGUAUAUCUCAGACUUGCCUGUUCAUAUCUUCAAGUGUAUUACUGAGAUCUUUCUACUUUCUUCUUUUCCAGGGAUCUCAUUCUGAGGUACUAGAACAAAUGAUCUUAAAGCAACGAAAUGACAUGCACAAGGUAGAUAUUUCUACCUUAUCAGAAGUUCCCAUAUGGUUUGCAAUUAUAAAACUUGUGUCAUUACCUUUAGCGACUAACAUGCUUUCUACUCUUUAUUUAUUUAUAUUUAUUCUGCAUCAGUCUGAAUUAGACCGUGAAAGGCUUGCAAUGGAGCUUGAGGAAGAAAGAAAAUCUCGUGAAGCAUUAGAGCAUUGCAUAAAGGAACAACAGAAGAAGAUAGACAAUCUUACUAGUCUUGCUAAUUCUUCCAGUCAAACUAGAAGUUCAGCCAAGGUAAAUAGGGAAUAUUUCUAGAACCAAUUGUAGGAUAUGCUCAUUAUGAGCUAGUAUAACACUACAAAGUCUUGUAGAAAUUACUUCAUUGAGUGAAAGCCAACAUCUCAAAUCAAUAGCCGCAAAUAAUAUGUUACAUAACUUUUGCAGCAGAUGGCGGACUUGAGAAACACAUCUGAUGAAGUAAUCAUGUCACAGGAAGAUGUCUUUAAAACACCUAAUUUCAAAGAAAAGCCAAAUGAUUUUGUUGUGAAAAGAUCAAACUGUUCAAGGGACCUUGAGUCUAGUCCGCCCCCUGAUAAUUUUGCAAACAUAGCUGAUGAAGACUUGUGGAUGCGUUUGAACAAAGGUUGCACCACUGAUCUUGAUAUGCUUCAAAUGACGCCUGAUAUGAAAUGUCAAUCCUACUUAUCAAGUGAUAUUUCAGUUGUAAGUUACCAAUCCUUCAUGAUUAUUUUUCUCUCAUACUCUUGUUUAUAUGAUUUUUCAUUUCGAUUCAAUAGAUGCUUUGAAGUGAGAUCAAAACUUCUGUUUUUCCUUUUUUCAUGUGAUAAACAUAAUAAUCACUUCUAUACAACCAUAUUGUAUAAUAGAAUUUGAUCGUACCAUUUUAGGCUUCGAAAACUCAGAUUGUCUGUUUAUUAGAUAUUGGUUAUUGCACAUUUUUGCUUAUAACUUGUGGAUUCACUCCAUAUUGUAAUCAGAUGGGGAAAUAAGUACUUUCCUACUAAGUUAUAUUAGUAUUCGAGGAUUCUCAUGCCAAUGGAACAGUGAUGAUACUCCUUUAAAAAGCCAUUUUAAGCAUUGUGAAAUGGUUGAAGAAAAGAGAGUUGGAUGAUACUUGAAUUGAAAUUUUCAGAAAUACAUGGUAGUGGAGGAAAAGUUAAGGGUCUUGUUGACAACUGAUUAACAAAUCAUAAACUGUGAUUCUGAUUCGGCAAGUCGGUAUGAUACUCGACAUCUGGUGACAGACUAUUGCAUAUUAUUGGGUUUCAUCAACUAUAUCAUGGAAGUCAAGGAAACAACAAAUUAUUGCAGAGUCUUCAGAUGAGUCCGGGUAGAGAUCCAUGGCAAACACUUCUUGCAAGGUGACAUGGUUGCUUUAUCUUGUUUCGAGGGGUUAACAAUCUGCAAGUUAUCCCAGCUUUGGUGAUUGUACAUUAAAAUCCUGAAAUUUCAUUAACAAAAUACUAAAAGAAUGUCUCAUAUUUGCUAGUUUAAGUUGGAUGCACUCUCGAGUACAUUAUGUUACAGGGUGGUUGAAGUAUAUGCGAGUCUAGAACUGCGACCAUUCACAAACUUAGAGUCAGGGUUGGUUCAUAACUUACCAAAUCACUCCCUUAUUUGGCACUGAUAAAACUUAUAGGACAGAUUGACUAGUGAAAGUUCUUUUUAUUUUUCAUGCUUCUCAAUAUUAUUGCCAAAAUGUUAUUUAAUAAUUAUUCAUACAACAGAGACUAGCUAAAAACUUGUACAUAUCAUGAGGCCUAGACCCACAAUCCUUGUGGUGUCUUCCAUGUAAAUUUCUACUUGUUUUCCAAAGGACUCUUGGUGCAUGUUGUAUGUUGACAUGGUGUUAAUUGAUGAGCCUAGAGAAACUAUAAAUAAUAACAAACAAAAUCAUGAGCAUUUAAAAAUAAGUUCUAAAAUCUCAUGUCAAAUUUGCAUGUAUGGCAUGGAAGUUUGACAUUGGUUUAUAAGAAAGGUGGAUCCUAGGGAGAAUGCUUUAUAUAGAAUUCUAACUUGGUGGGGGAAGUGAAAUUGCAUGGUUGGUGUUGUGUCAUUGUCGCCUAUUAAACAAGGUUAAAUAGUGAGAUUGCUAUGCGUUUUGGAUCAUGAUUACCAAUGAACCUAUUUUACCAAUAUUACAUAUACUUACAAAAUAUUUCUGAAACUAUUUUCUAAUGUUUUGUGAAUGUUCCCAAAUAAAUAUCUUAAUUAAUAAUUAUAAUAGAAGAUUUUUCUUAUAUAGAAGGUACUUGUUUCUAGUAAAAGCAAACAUGUUUUUUGUAACAAGGAAUUCUCAUUUCUAGAAUAGAAGGGUCACUCUAGUUUUCUUCUACAUCCUUUUAGGUUAGACAUAAGUAUCUCAAAAAGGCCAUGAAUUGAGAUGGGUUGCCCUACCAUGUGCAAGGUGGAGGUAAUAUUUGGAUGGGAGAUGAUUUGAGUUAAAUCACUAAUAAUGAUGGUACCUAAUAGGGUAGGCUUGCUCCCUACUAUCUGGCUUAAGAUUAAAAUAAAAUGACAGAAGUCAUCCUGCUGUUUAUUUGAGUGAUAAAUAUAGAGAGAAUUGUUUUUUCCUUUUCUUUAUUUUUUUUGUUUGAGAGAACAUAUACCUGCAGUGACCGAAGCAACCCUAUGAACCAUAAAAUAACAUCUUUAACUCUGUGCUUCAUUUUCCCUCUUUUUAAUUAAUAAGAUUAAAACGUUUGAGGUCGUCAAGUAGAUGAGUGUUGUGACCAUGAACUGAAAAAAUGCAGCAAGAUGAUAGUUUAGACUGUCAAUAUUUAGCUGCCAGAAUAUCAAACCAAGGGGUUUGAUUUGACCGUAUAUAGCAACAAAAAGCUGUGCAAAGUAGCGGAGCACGUAGGAAGCCUGAAAGAGGUCGUGUUGUAUGUCAGUAAGGAUGCCAGCUUUAAUCUAGGCAUUCUACAUCAUGCUCGUACUGUUGCUUAAAAUUAGAACCCCAACAGUCAGAAGGCUUUGAUUAGUUACAUUAGCAAUUGGAUCUAAGACAGAAACAUAAUUUGGGUAGUUGGCCCGAGUCAUUAAUUAAGCUUUCCAACACUUAAUUGAGGCACUACUAUGGAAAAUUGAUUGGAAUAGAUAGAAGGAAAAAACAUGUUUAACAGAUGCAUAAGAGGUGGUUACAUGACUGAAGACAUACGUGUUCUUGCAUAAAAGAGUUUUAUAACUGGAACCUUUUGCAUAGUAGAUUGCGCCCUCGGAAAACACAAUCAUGUGAGAUAAGUGUUUGCUUUCCUAUAGUACAAAGCAGGCUUAGCUAGAGAUGUGAGGUGAGAUGGUUAGGAGGCUAAAAGUAGUCUUUAUAACACAAAUAACACUGACAAUGAGAGUCGGUGAUUUAAAGUUAAUAAUAUGCAUAUGUAUGACAAGAACCAUAGCUUAAUACUAGAGCAGAUUAGAGGCAGGGAGGUGCCUCACCAAUGCUAGUUUUCGCAUGAAUCUGUAUCUAAAUAAUUCUUACAUCUUAAUUUUUUAGCUUCUCUCUUUCAAAAUAUCCAUGCUCUUUUUUAUUGACAAAUUCUCUACUUAUCUUCCAAUUGAAAUUUUUGCCUAUAGCCACAUUAUUCAAAGCAUGGUAAUAACCAAUAAACCAAGUUUGAACACGAUCCUAAAAGCAUCUUGCAAUAUAAAGAUAAUAUGUUAAAACCAUAGUAAAAUCUUAGGAAGCAUGGAUAAAAAUCGCAUGUCAUGUUCAUAUCUGUUGUCAGUAUUUGCUGGACACUUCUCUGAUGCAUGUCCAAUAUUUGUUUAAAUUAUCCUAUUUUUUAAAGUUUAAAAGAUGCUCUAGAUACUUUCUGGAUAAUGGGAUACUUUCUUAAUACCUUUAAAUAUAAGGGUGAGGGAGUUUGCUUUUCUUUGUUUAAUGUUGACCUUAUAAUGGUGAAUGGUUUUGCAGUCUAUGACUUAAAUAUUGAACUAUGAAGUAUGGAUUGAGGUUGAUAGGUUUGAAUGAUCAAACAAUGAGCUUAUAAAAGCUGAUGAUGUCAGCUAAAGUGGGGACUGUAUUAUUCUUGACAGCAUACUAAGAUUUGUGCAUAAUUUUUUACAUAUAUAUGCUUGCAGUAUGUAUAUAGAGAAAGGCUAGGAUGCACUCAAGUGAAUUUGGCCCAAUUGCUUCCUAGUGAAAAUCAAUGGUGGACCUUUCAAAAUGAAAAUCAACACUGUUGAACUUGAUGUAUGUUGCAUAAAAUUUCUAAAAACAGUAAAAGUCACAUAGUUUCGAGAGCCUUCGCUCAUGCAUCGAAUUGUUGAAAAUGAACAGUUUAACUGUAUGAUGCUAUGUCUUCAUUUGAUCUAUAGUUGAGAAGCAUCCAAAUCAGUUGAAAUUUAAUAUUUAUAUGUUUUGAAGUAUCUAGAUCAAGGUCAAUGGUUUAGAAUUGCAAAUUAUUUAGUGUAAAGCAUACUUUAGCUCACUAACUAUACUACUACCACUCAUCUUAUACUCGCUUGAUGCAUAGGCAAGAGAUUUCUAAAAUAAAUUAUUUUUUAGUCUCUAGGCAUUUUAUACACUAUAGUUCAUGAUCACUGGUUUCGAUUUUUAUUCUGAGAGAUACAUCAUUGAUUUCCACUAGAAAGCAUUUGGGGCCAAAUGUACUUGGAUGCAUCCUAGCCCCCUCCUUUCUCUCUCUCUAUAUACGUGUGUGCAUAUGUAUAUGUAUGCACACGUCUAUGUGCAUUUAUGUGUAUAAAAUACAUUUACUUAUUUAUUGAUAUAUCCUAGCCAUAUUAUAUCUUAUUUUUUCAAGCUUUGCCAUAUUGGAAUAUUUGUAUCGUGUCGUAUCUGUGUCCCAUACCUGUGUUCGUGGUUCCUAGGUAAACUCCUGUGUUACUUAUAUUAUGCAUUACAUAAUUUAAGCAGAAAGAUAAUUCAGCAGCAUUCUGUCUUUGCCUGAAAGAUCCACUCCAGUUCGACUGUCACAUGAACAUGCAGGAUAUUUUUAAUACUUUCUGCUCUCAGUUCUCACUUUUCCUGAUUUCCCAUGCUUUUUGCUCUUGACCCUUAGCUAUCAUAAUUCCCCACCAUUCCUAGAAUGAAGCACUUGACCGUUCGCUUAGACAAAUAUGUGGGGCAGUUUUGCAGUGAUCCUUUAUGUUCAACCAAAUCUGCUUUAAAUUGGCUUCUGUCAUCAAACAAACACACCUCUGUCUCGAAUCCUUCAUCCGCUGUUAAGAAACUUAUACAAGAGCAAGACUUCCUUGCCCAAGUUAUCUGAAAUCAAAAUUUAUUUUUCUGCUUGCCCAGUGCUAUAUCAAGCAUUAUUAUUUUCAGUAUCUUCUGAAGAUACCAGACCACAGACGGCAUAUUGUACUACAUUUUGGUCUUCUGCUAUCAUCUUUAUUCACAUUCAUUGGUAAUAAUUGAACAAAUUCAACCUCAAUCUACACUUGUUGACCUCUUCAAAAAUAUUUCUUAUGUUGGGCAAUGAAAUUUCGCUGUCACACUGAUCUUUGCUAGAUGUAGCAAGAAAAUUAGCACAUGCAGCAAUAUGAGCACCUUAGGGCAUGGGAAAUUUCAGGACUUCUCACCACCUAUUAGCCAGAGGCCUAUAGAUACCAAUAGAUUUUCUUUUUUUUUUGGCUAGAGCGAGAAUACCAAUAGAUAUUCCCUGUUGUGAAGUAAACCUGUCUGCGAAGCCCCACAGCAAUUCAUCACCUUUUCCAGUCAAGUGUACUUUGCUGCCGAAAAAUUCUGUGAUAGCAGGAUCAAAGAACAACGUUUUUCAAUUGAUUGGAGCGCUAUUCUUGUUAAGAUCUCACCAUCUUGAGCAAUAUGUGAAAUAUAUGAUCUGUCAUUUCGAUACAUUACCAUGCUUGCCUGCCUCGUUUACUGCAAUUAUUGUUUGUUUGCUAGCUUUCCAUUUUGAACAUGAGCAUGUGCCAAGGACAAUGAAUGCAGAUCUGCAUUAAAAGGUUGCCUGGCAGAGUUGCCAUUUAUUUGAAAUUCUAAAAUCUCCAUUUUUCAGCUACCGUCGAGUUUCUUCAUGGUUCAAUUUCUGAUGAUGUGAUCCUUAUUUCCUUUCCAAACGUUAAGGAGGUGAGGGAUCCUUUAUUUUUCUCUUUCCUGAGUAUCAGUUGCUGCUUGUCUGAAGGGACUAGCUUUGGAGGAAGAGAUUAGUAACAAGGGAAGAUGUCACAGCUUGGAAACUGAAUGUGGCUUCAACAAGCAACUUGAGGCUUCGAAGGAGCAAUGUGCUGCCCUAGAAAGGGAAUGCAACCUUUUGAGAGGGGAAAAUGCUUCUCUCAUGCACGGUCUCUCCAUGUCCAAACAAGACGUAGAGCUCCUUACUGCCGAAAAAGAAGAAUUACUGAAGGAGCUGAACAUUGAAAGACAAAAAAUGAAGGAUCUUAAGGAGGAGAUCCAUGUGUUCAGUUUAGCAUUUUCCCAACGGGAGGGAUUACUCACAUCCCUCUACUCCAAAUCCAAGGCGAUGGUGGAAAACCUAAAAGCCUCUCAGGUUCCCACGCCUGAACUAUACGAUUGUUAAAGCUGAAUAUGCUGCCUCUUUAUUUAUUGAAUCAUAUACUAAUGCAGUUAGUAAGAGGUCCUGGCCUGUUAAGAGUGCUUUCCUUGUAUUGCCUAUGUUGAUCUAUUGAUCACACCAUGUCUUUACUUCCACACUUGCAUCGUUUAAAAUUUAAGUUAUUUUCCUUUCUUUCUCAGGACAUUUUACUUCGUGAAUUGAUCACCCAGUGCUUUUAAUUCACUAUAACGCCAAUUAAAGACAAUGUAUUUUUAUACUCCAUUUACUCAAAUGCUACUCAUGGCAUGCAUAUAAUUCAACGUAUAAUGCGUCUGUAAUCUCUUUGGUGGCAUGCGACUUCAAAUAAGGGAACAGAAACCUGUCAUCUUGUUAAACUUCCAAGUUGAUGAGGAUCAACAUAGGCCUUAAUCACAACCCAUGUCAGUGGUGGUAACGCUAAGCCAAAGUUUUUUUUUUUUUUUUUGUUUUUGAAGGCUUGGGUGGGCCGACGCCUGGUCGGGCCGGUCAAGUGGACGUGCUCCUGAUCGGGCCAUCAGAGCUAUGGGACCCACAUGUGUGGACGCAUUCCAAAAGCCCGCGAGCAUACGGGCGAUCGUUUUCUUUAGCGUCAAAGAGAGGAAGAUCUAAAAAGAGAGAUUUAGGUUUGGAUGUCUGCCGUAAGAGGAGCAGAGGGAUUCCUGGUGGCGAACACAUGCACUGGGUUUAGAGUUGAAGGGAGGGAGGGAGGAAGGAAGGGGACACUGGGGAGCAGCAGCCAAACCACCGACUCCCCAAAUCCCAUCAAUAAAUCAGCUCAAUCUUGUCCACAGCCCAAUCCUCCUGGUCUCGGACACAUGGGUUCCUCCACUACACGACAGAAGCUGUGGCAUUCGUCGGGCACAGUUCAAAAGAGAGCUGUUUGGGGUUACUAUCGGUGCGGAGUUGAAACUCUGAGAAGCAUUCAAACCAGGCACUGUAACAUGGUGAGCCAAAGCCUGUAAAAUGGAGACAGUGCAGGCCAAGCCAAAGGGGUUCAUUUCUUUUCCCCCUGCUGGUGCAACACGCCUGCUCCAGUUAAGUGUUCCCAUAACCAGUGAGAUAGCCCUUCGGUCUCAGAAAAGGGUUAUGAUACCCCAUUGCUUCAGUACAUCAUUCAACCUUUAAUCAGACUGGUACAUUGGAUUUUCACCUGAUGAUUUGAUGUAACUUGGUGCUUGCUAAAAAGGGUGCAUGUACCAUGGGGAGGGCCCCAUCCUCCUCCACUGAGGAGCAAACAAAAUUCUCAGCUGGCUGCUAGAUUCUCCGUUGCUAUUUCUUCCGUCACCCAUUAAUAGCGUUUGUAUGUUCUAGCUCUGGGGUGAUUUGAAUCGUUAGGGAUGUUUAUUUAAGUUCUUCUAUCUUCCUCUCCCUCCUUCAUUUAAACCACUCCCACACCUCACAUUAUCCCCCCUUCUCCUUGAGUUUCUGUCAUCCAUUUUCUUUCCAGAGCUGGAGGUCCAAUGGCCUGUCUUUCCAAAUCACCUUCAGCCCAAGGAAGGCGGCUGUUUGAGCUGCUGGAAGAGCAGCAGGAGCCUUUUCUGCUCGAAGUUUACCUUCUAGAGAAUGGGUAUUCUAAUAGGGUCCUGAAGUCGCAGGCUGCAAGCAUGUGUUGGCCUGGUGGUGCAUUCCAGAGGCUGCAGAGGCUUAGCAGUCAUGGUCUCAAGAGGAGAUGUGGGUUCCUUAGGUGCAUCCUCACCAAGGUUUUGUAUGGGAAGGCUGCCAAGAAGGCCUUGGAUUGGGACCGCAAGGCGCCUGAGAAUGGGAGAUCGAGUUUCUUCGAUUGCUUCACAGAAAUGGAACGCAAGAACCAUGAUGUAGAACCUGGCGGCAGCUUCUCAUGUCCCAGAGGCAGUGGCAGUGCCAGAGAAUUGGAUGGAGAUGGUCAGUGGAAAUGCAUGGAGGUGGAGGAGGACUUGGAGCAGCACAGUCCUGUUUCAGUGCUAGAGCUGCGUUCUUGUGAAGGCUCCCCCGCUCACAGUCGCAGUAAGUUGGCUUUGCUGCUUGUCUGGAUGUUUCUAUUUCCUCCUUUCUUUAUGAAUCGCAAGGAUUCAUUUCUUCGGUUUUUUUUCUCUUUCUUCUUUUUUGUUGCUUGACAGAUAAAGAAGAGAACAAAUCGACAUCUAGUCUCGAUUCGACAGCAGAAGCUUUAGACAUGAUCAAAGAGCUUCUCGAAGCUGCUUGUUCUCCUUCCUUCAAUCAGUUUGCUAAAUCAAACAAAGUGUUGCAUCAGCCAGAGCAGCUGCUGCUGGAUUGUGUGAGGGAGGUGGAAGAAAAGAUCUGUGCUUCCCAUGAGUCUUUGAGCCCUGAAAUGACCCGAAAAAUCAUCAAUGAGGAGAUCCUUUCAUGGGAGAUGCAAAAAGGAGAUUUGAUGAGGAUAAGCAACUUGAUAUUUUCAGAUGUGUCCAACUCGAUGAGGGAGUGGAAUCGCUUUCGGUCUCAGAUGAGAGAGAUUGUUAUUGAAAUAGAAGCUGCCAUUUUUGAAGAAAUCACGGAAGGCUUUGUCUUGAAUUUGCUGGACUUCCCUUGUACAUAUGAAAAGUUUUGAUUCUAUAUAUAAAAUAGAAUUAUUUUUCAGCAGCAACAAAAAAAAGGAGGAAUUCUUAAGUUCGCUAGUUUCAGUGGGCUCCUUGUUCUUUUUUGACAUAGGUUCUUGACCAAAUUUUUUUUUUAAAAAAACGCUCUUAAAUUUCUCAGGAAGCUACAACAUCAUCCUAUACAUUAAUUUCAGGUUGCUUGAGGUCAAUUGCAUGUUAAUGCGAAAUGGUUCUUAGCAUAAUGGCUCUACCCCCAUUCAAUGACUCAACAACCGUAGGUAUGGAAAGCAACAACAAUGUACCAACUAAGAUCGUGUGUUGAUGCUUCCUUUAUUGCAGUGGUGAGAGUGCAUCGUAUCUUUUUCAAAUCAAACCAACAGAGUUUAACAUUGCCUACGAGAUAAAAGAUCCCAAAGGGUUCAUGAUUAAAUUUUGGUUGAUUCUUAUUAGCUUCUCUUGAAAUGGAAGUAUUUUAAUCAUCAACAUUAUAAAACAUUAAUACGGACUAGGUUGUUGACACAUCCAUAUACGUCUCCAAUGUAAUCUCACAGCCCCUCCUGUGCUGGAUGCAGACUUGUAACUUUUUUAUGCUCGAUUAAAAGGGAGGGAGUACACCCAACUGAUACACUGAAUUAAUGACAUAAAAGAAGAUACAGCAGAGAAACGACAGUCAAAUGUGUUGCAGUUCAGCAAGCAGCACCAGGCAUGGAUUCAGACUUGUUUGUUUAUAAACCAUGUUCAUAAAGCAUUCAUUUCUCCGUUUUUUUUGUAAGAUUAUUUAUAUUGCUCAAAAAAAUUACUAUUUUCCAGUUUUACAGAGGAAACAAUCAUGACGAGCACUCACUGUGAAAUAUUAGUUUAGAGAAUGGAUCAUAUAUCUCGCUACCAUGACAAUACCGAUUUUUGUCAGGAAAGCCAGGGCCAAUUCAUUAUAUGUUCUUAGUGGGUAGGUGAGACACCGAUCUAUAGAUGUCUCUAUCUGAUGCUCUAUGAAAGCAUGUGCAGAUUAAUUACAUAUGAUAGAUGAGAAGAUAAAGGUUUGAUUUAUGUUAGCCCCAUCCCCAUAAAGAGGAGAGCAUAUAUACUUUAUUUGCUGUCUCUUAUGUUCUCCUUGGUUGUUUGCGAGAAACUUAAUUUAAAAUCUUUUUAUGUCUUUCUUCGCAUUCAAUAGUGAAAGUUCUAUGUAUCUCAUGGGUCACACAUGGAUUUGCUCGAUGUGCUUUCCAUAUGGCUGGAAAUCGCGUGUGGGAGUCCUGCACGCAGAAAACUCGGGUAGAACCUUGUCACGUAGCUUGGCAUUGGAGGAUGGAACUACACUGACAAGCUGCUUCACGCACUCCCUGAGCACUUAGACUGAUGCAUAGCGUGCAGAAGAGCUACAGUAAGCAGUUACCUGGAUUUCUUUUUCGGUUUUUUCAAAAAAAAUAUGAGGGGAAAGGGUUGCAGAGAGAGAGGCAACCAGCUUAAAUCCACCAAGUUGAUAAGAUGAUAUACAGCCAAGGAAGAAGGAAAGUAGGCUCGAUUUCAUCAACUUCAAUGUAACUUUGAAAAGGCCGCAGCAGGGCAUAAAAUUCAGUUGGAAGAGAUACUUUGGUAGGGGUUUACCUAUGGAACCACCCAUGCUCUUCUAUUUUAAUGCAUCAUCUCUAGUUAUUUAUGGAUCACCUGCUUUUGAGUCUCCUUGCAUUGAAUGAGACGUAGAGGCUCAUGAAUAAUGAAGUCCUUGAGAGAUGUUGGAUGGAAUUAGAGCAUUUGUCGCAUCAUGUUCAUGGGCAGCAUGUGCAUGGCAGUAAAAUAAGCAUCAUGGGCUUUGGAUUGUCUAUCUUCAGAAGGACAAAACUAGCCACCAACCUAUUAUUAUUUGUUGAGUGAAGCUGACAUUAGAAACCUCAUAACGCAGGGCCAAACCAAUUUCAUCUACGAACUAGUACUUUAUUAGUGCAUGAUUGAUGUAAAAGUCCUCGGAGACAGACAACCUUGGAGGUAGAUAUCCAUUCAAUGAUAGGAAACUGGCGAUUACAAGAACAUGAAUGGUUUCAAACGAGCCAGCAAUGAUAAGGUGAGGGGAAAAAAAAAGAAGAAAAAAGAAAAAACUACUUAUGUAAUGGUACAGAUGACCACCGAAACUUUGCCUGCUUGCAUCACUGAAGGUUGGGACUUCACUAAUUUAUUGAAUCCAUUUUUCAGCUAUAAUUCAACUGUCAGAAUUGGAUACUGUGUUGUUUAGAAGUGCUUCUCUUGCUUCUUGCCGACAUCAGUUUACUGCAUCUUAGCAAAAGGCCUUGUCCGUAGUUAUUAUUAUUCCCAUCCGCAGCUCUCCCAAGCCUAUGCUGUCUUAUAGGCAAGAUUAAUCCACUUUUCCUCGUACAUUCUAAUAUCUGAGCUUAAAAUUCCACUCCAUCAUCAAAUUAGAAAAAGAAAGAAACUUUUGAGCUCGAGUUGUAUAGCUCAGAGGAACUCGACAUAAGGAAGGGGGAUCAUUUACCUCAGAAGGAGAGUCCUCUUCCUCCCCACAUUACCUACAUUCCAUGGAAUCCACUCGGCAGGGGGACUAAACUAAAGAAUUUUAGGAAACUGUUUAUCAUAUUUUAUCUCUAUGAGGGCCUAUCUGCAAAAAAUGUCACUAAGUUUAAUUUAACCUCUCAUACCUGCAUGAGAACGUUGCAAAUACCCACUAAAUAACAUCAAUAUUAUUACAGUUGAAAGAAUCUGACAAAGUUCAGCUAGCCUCUGCAACUGGCCUGCAGGAACUUGUUCAAAUAUGAGCCCCCAGUUCAAGCCAGUAUUACAUAGAUAUUAGUGCCGUUAAACUUGAGCCAGUUCCGGCACACAAAAUGCCGGAUCUAGUUCGAACAGUGCCCACAGGGAGCCCCCGGGCCCCGGCCUGCUAGAUACUGAUGCUGCAUAAAGUUCCCCUCUUAAACUUUUUGCAACCCUUUUUGUCUGGUCAGGUUAUGAGAUCCAUGUAAAGCCUGUACGGCCCUGAAAAUUACUCUCUGUUUUUUGUUUCAAAAUGAAAGAUUAAAAGUUGACAUAUAAAAAAAAAGGAUUAAAAAGCUUAGGUUACGUUGCAUGCUUCGAUAACUUAAUCGGCUAUUAAGGGGUUACAGAUUUGCCUGAGGUGCAGGUGUAACCUGACAUACACAAGCUCAGACCGUGUUUAGCACAAGUUUAAUCCAAAUUGCUCGUGCUAUGCUCAUCUGGGCCAUCCCUAAAUCUUAAUCCAAAUAAGAUGGUGGGUUCGACGGUCACGAUGGAUUGGACCUGGCACCUUCCGGUGGCCCCUCUCUGAUCACAGCCUUGAAACUGGCCCAACAUAUCCUUCCUAAGGGCCGGCCCAAUUUUUUGGCCCCAGCAUGCUAAUUCAUGUUGGAUGCAUUGUAUUUCGGGUCGGGCUCGGAUAUGAAAGCUCUUUGGGCUGGACUCGGAGAUGGGGGUGGCCUGGCCAGCCCAACUCAAUUCCAGUCCUAUCGUCGAAAGCGUUGCAGGGACUAGUUCAAAUCUUCUAAAAAGAUAAUAGACUAGGUUAAGAUAAUCGAUAACUAUUCAUAUUCGAUUUGAGCUAGUCAUGCGAGGUCCUAUGUUUUUAGCCUUAUAUUAGCUAUGAACUAGAUAGAUCUUUAAUACUUAUAUAAAAUCAAAAAAUCUAAAUAAUAUUUUUUAACUAAUUUCUUUGCAUAAGAUUCGAAAUUGUUAUAAAAUUAAUUCUCUGAAACACACUCUAGCUCUUUUCGUUAAGUUGUGGGGGAGGAUCUGCUCACUUCUGGAUUUGUGGUCCUGAGAUGGGCCGCCCCUGGCAAUGACAGAGAGCCCUUUAUUUUAGGGGAGCUUAUUAUCCUGUCCGUUGAAUUUUUGUUAAUAUCAAACCCAAAUUAUGUCAUCUAAAACGAAAUCCUCCAAUAGAAAAAGGGUCAUGCCAUCUCUCUCAACAAGUGCGAUGAUGAGUGUAAUCUCCCUCGUCAAUACUUAUUAUUUUUCGGGUAUGUUUAAGCUUUCCAUAUCUGAGAAACGUUCCAUUGAUUGAUUUCCUCAAAUAUUUAAAGAACCACUCAGCUUUUGCUGCUUAUAAAAGAGCUGCAUAUGCAAACGAUAAAGCUUGCUUCAUAUAUAUGACAACACGAAACCACAAAGACCUCAACGAAAAGAGACAAUACCAAACCAGAAUUCAUGGAAGCACAACUUCAUGCUUUCUAGCCUCGGAUGGCUCAUUGAAUAAAAGAAAGCAAAACGAGACUACUGAUAUAAAGAUCCAUGACCGUAUGAAUUUCUCUGCCUCCACCUCCUCUCCAGAAACCUCUCACGAGUGGGAAGAGGAGGAAGCUGUGUCAGCCUCACAAUGCCAUGCUCUUCGACACCGCACACGUGUUUGCAAGAGAACCCAAACCCAGAGCCAAGGCCGCCACCUCUCUUGCUCUCCGCGGCUGCCUUGCCUUGACGCCUACCACUCUUGGUGCACUCCAAGUAGGCAGCGAGGAAGGGGUCCUCUUCCCUUCUGAACCUCCUCCUCAGAGAGCUCAUCGCCAGCGGCUGGAACGGGCAAGGGGGCAGGGGAACGUAGAGCCCAUGCGGCGACGCCUUGGGGCUCCCCGACCAGUACGGCGGUGGCGGCAGCCUCGGAGUCCGUGGGCUUGAUGGUGCAUCCGUGGGGCUAUGCUCACUACUCAUCUCUUCCCAGUUGCUUGGCUUCGGGGGAAAAGGAGGGAGAUUUAUAGAAUUCUCAUGCACCCUAUGUUCUCCAAGGGCUGGUCAUAUUUCUUGAGGAAAAGGGUAACAAGGCGUGGAGGGAAGAGGAGGGUGCGUUGUUGGGAACCGGGAUUUUCCACAGGGAGAGGGGAAGAAGGACCAGACUUCUUGUGGGCCUACAAGAUUGCUUGGUUUUUAUGCGAUGGUCACGGGGGUUUUUCUGCAAGUCAAGAGAGACGUAGAGGAAUUGGUUAGGUGGAGAAAAGAAAAAUAUCUGGACGAAAAAAACCGAGAAGCGCUGGUAGGGGAGGUAACGUUUGUGUGCUUAUUGUGGAUGUUUCUUGUGUGUGGAAGAGAAUGACUUCUUCUUCCUGCUUUCUUUUACUUCAUUUUCUUAUAGAAAACAGCAGCUGAUUUGUUUUUUGUCCUCCCAGCCUAAUUAAUAAGACCUGAAGCAUUGAAUAUAAACUAGUAUCAUCCGAAACAAUUCUUAGGAGCCCGGUGUGUAGCUUAGGGGUUUUUUUUUUUUUUUUUUUUUUUUGGGGGUUUUUUUGGGGGGGGGGGGUUUAGGNNNNNNNNNNNNNNNNNNNNGUUUGUUUGUUGGUGGGGGGGGGUUAGAGGAGUAGGAGAUAACCCAGUCGACCGCACUGUUCACCUCCCGGUAGACAUAGAUAGCUCGAAAUGUCGCAAGCCCACCUACAAUCUUACAUAUAUCCCACAGGAGCUUCUGAAUCUAGUAGAUCACCAUAGCCGCAUCGCCCUCAAACUAAAUACAGAUCGCCCCUAGGACCAAUAUGAUAAAGAUAAUGCACUCCUAAACAGCUCUCACUCCACACCAUUGACUACUUGUCGAAGACGCGCCGCCUCCCGCCGCAAUGAGCCUAGACUCAUGAUCCAUAGUCACAAAACCCACUCCACCUCUAUCUCCAUCGUCAGCGAUACUAUCAUCAAAAUUGAUCUUGAGGAAGCUACGGGGUGGGAGCUCUCAGGAGACUAGAAUAGUUCUGGGCGCUAUAUUGGCUAAGUGGGAGUCACAGAUGUCCCUGGCCGACCCAAGCAACGUUGCAACAGUAGUGCUAAUAAUCUCUGCUGCAUGAAGUAAAACUCCGUCCUCUACUAUCCUCAGGUGCAUUCUACUGCCCUCGUAUAUUCAGAUGUUUUAGUCUAACAAUAUAAACCUUCGACACACCGAUAUUAUAUGGCUUCUUAUGACCAUUGUAAAGCUCAGUCUCAAUCUCUGUCUGGAUGGUAUAAAAAAUAAAUUUAAAAAUAAACGUGCUGCUGAUUGCCCAGAUGACAAAUCAAAGUCAUCAUCUGAAACAUAAAAAUCCUAUGCCUACCAAGCAUAUAUCUUUCAUCCUUAUCCAGCUAUUUCUUCAGCAAAUAGGAUGGUCUAAAUUAGCCUAAUUCAACUCCUAUCCAAUCAAACAACGUGGUGAUUGAGAAAAAGCCUUUUAACCAUGAAAUUCUGCUUGAUACCGUCACCAACAUGGUCCUUCUCCUAGCAGUGUUUGUAGGAUGGCAGCAUCCGUAGUCGCUCAUACGAUCUGUGACUAAAAACCAUGCGGAUGGCGUGUCGUGGCUAAAGAUAUGGUAUAUAUCCUUUUCUAAUAACAUCACUGUCAGAAUUGCCUGCUUGCAAGAUUGCUAAGACUACUUGGAAUGCGCCUUUUAGAAACGUAGCUAAACUUUGUACAAGUGAGGAAGAAGGUCAGUCGAGCGCAUGGGAAAACUAGGAGGCUACACUGAAUUUUAGUAUAGAACGUUAGUUCUAUACUAACGUUCCACUCACAGUCUAUCAGUAAUCUCUUGGGGUAUGGUUCCUAAAAAUUGUUAUAAUUUUGAUUACUAUGUCUUUUUUUUUCCCUAGAAAUUACUAUUUCCCCAUAUGUUUUCCAUAAUUCAGCACUCUACAUGGUUGGGAAAGUUCUUGGAAUUGGUCCAUUGUUAGUGUCUGUGGACAAUUUGAAAUUUAUCAUCUCUGCAAUUGUUUGCGUUGGAGAGGUUGAAUUUCUUAUGAUUUAUUUUCGGUGAUGGCUUUCCUGCCAUGCCCUUGCCAUAAUUUAGGUUAAAUGGCAAUAUGAUUCGUGCUUCGCCAAAUAUCUGAUAUGAGUAAUCCUUCCACAAUAGUUAAAGUUGCUCCUACAAUUGUUAUCUAAAAUAAAAUAAAUAAAUGGAUAACAAAUUAGAUCCCUCAAAAAAAGUUGCAAAGAUAAAAGCAAAAUUGAUAACUAAAGUUCAUGCAAGUUCGUACCAGACUGUAAUAAAUAGCAUCCAAGAGAACUAAAAAGAUCCACUCCAAUUUUAUUAUAAUUUACUGUUUAAUCAAAGUGCAUCUCUCUAGGACGAAUGCUAAUAAAAGCACUGGUGCAUCAUGUUACAACCCAUUUCUGGGUUUCUGAAUAACCGACAUAAAACUAAAUACAUGUCCGCACGAAUCUUCACAUACUCUUCCAGUUUAAGCUCCGACGUAUUCAUCAGACUAAAAAUUCAAAUUCAUUCAAAUCUAAUCACAAGCAUCACGAUCGACUUCCAUAAAUCCGUGCUACAGUGCCUCAUAAUUCACAUAGGCUAUGCAUCGAGUACGCUUUAAUACAUUUAUCAUAACUAGUCGAAAGGUAUUUUUUUAGAUUCCUUUGUCCCGUAUAGAUAUUUCAAGAUCUUCUUGACAAAUAAUCGAUGUACGACUAAACACAUGCCCAAACGGAUCCUCACAAAUCACCUCGAAGUACAAACAAUUUGACAGUGCUGUGACUAAUGAGAGAUUCAAGCCCAAAUAAGUCAGACAAGAUGUCACGUUCAAGCCCAAUGAUCAUACCAAAUUUAACCUGCACUCAUAAACAAAGCUGCAGAAACACAAGCCAGAAGGACACUUUCCAGCACAACGACGACGAUUCUUCACACAAACCAUCCAUAAAGUAUGCGGACAGCGGACUGUUGAACAGAGCACAAAGAUGAGAGAAAAAAAUAAAGAACAUAGAGGAUAAAAUAAACAAACUCAAAACAAAAAGGUUCCAUGUUCUUGAGUUGCAUACUUAAAACUAUAACCUACUUUCCACAACCCAGGUUGCAUGCCUUCUUCAGUGCCUUCUCUAUGCUGCUCUUUUGAGUAGUUUCUUUUUGAUGCUGUCUUCUUGUACUUGUGUCUCGGUCAGAAGACUCUACAGUGAGGGGAUGGUUGUUGGGGGAUCCACAAUGUUUGAGCCGAGGAGAUCAUUGCACAAGCUGCCAGUGCUAUCAUGGGCCUUGUGGCUCUCUGCCAGGGGGCUACUCCCAGUGCUGCUCGACACCGAGCCAAAGGUGGUCUUCUGCAGGACACCUGUGGGGGAUGACUCGAAUGUAGGACUUGAAUCCCAGCCAUCUGUCAAGAGGUUUAGAGAUGAUGAGGAGCAGUUCUUGCUUUGGUCCUUUGGAGUGCUGGAGGUGUUGGUCAAGACCUCUCCUAAUGGUCCAGCAAUGGAGGCCUCCCAGGAGAUAGGUAUCCAACUUGCCUGUCGUUGGCUCACCUCAUUCAGAACACCUCCUACUCCUAGACCCAUAUGAGUGGGAUCAAAAUCCUGGGAUAACUUAAGGGGUGAAAGUGUAAGCUUUUCCUGGUUAGGAGAAGAGGAUGAUGAUGAGAUGUCUGACGAAGCCAUGGGGAUUGAAAUGGAGAGUUGGGUUCGGUCAGAUUGCAUUUCCUCGACAUCAGGCCAGGUGAUGGUUGAGCGGGCAGACUGGUUUUUAGGCCAGUCAUCAAUGAAAUGUCGAAGAGGAUGGGGUUGGGGUGGUUGCUCAUUCAGUUUUGGAGUAGGUAUGAAGCUGAACUUCUCUGAGGAGCUUCUUGAAGGAUCGAGAACGAUUUCAGUGGAAAUGUGUCCAAAGCCUGCUUGGGAUGAGGCUACAUCAAAAGGAUCAUGCUGCUUAGAGAAGGGAAAUAAGGUGUUCACAGGUUUUGGGUUAAUAGAAUUUAGUGUGGAGAGGCCCUGUGACUCCUGCACAUGAUCAUUUACAUUCUCUUUGCUCACUAGCAUCCUGCAGAAGAUCAAUGAUGAUCAAUAAGUAAAUUAAAGGGUGAUCAUGCAAUACAACUCAAAGAUUCAGUUUUUCAGGAGAAUUUAAUUACUCAUGCAAUACAACUCAAAGAGUCAGUUUUUCACUACAAUAUCAUCACUAUCUGACAGGUAUGUUUCACAAAUGUGCUUAGAUCCUACAUAAAACAAAUACAUAAUAUCAUUUGGUUCAUCGCUCUUGGAUUUUACAAAAGGUAACCGAGACGUUCACAAUCUUUAAAGACUCGGAAAUGUAAUAGCAUAUUAUCAUUUUUCUCUCAAAAGGAGAACAAGUCAGUGAGGUGAUCAAGACUGUGGAUAAGUGUAUUUCCUUGAAGAAAAAAGAACUCGAACAACCUAAAACAGAUUUUAUACAAUAGUUCAAUUUAGUGGGAAAACAAAUUCAUUUUACAUGGCCAAAUAGAACGUCUCAAAUAGUUGUGGCUUAAAUUUCCGGAUUGACAAAGGAAUCCUUCAAGGACAAUCUACUGAAACUAGGAUUCCUUUUUUUUUAGUUCUAAUCAACAGACACGAAUACCUAGAAUCCAGCAAUAGCCGAAAAAAAUUAUUUUUAGAAAGCAUUAUUUAUUUUGAGUUAGCGAAGCUACAAUGACAUAAAUACGAUAAUGGAUAGAAUAUAGAAAUUAUAUAGGUAAAAUUAUGGCUGUCAUAUAGAAACAUAACAUCAUUCUAAGUUGAGUACAGGCAUGAUAGCAAUGAGACAGCUUCAUGGAAAUAGUUAAACUAUGAUGGCUCGGUCCACUUGAUUGGCCAGACCCAUAUGCAGCCCAGCUAAGCUGGGCCGCGUAGUUGGGCAGCAGAAGACUCCCACCAACAUCUCCAGGAAGAAGAGGAAGUCCUAGGCUCGCCAAGACCUUGGGACUCUCUAUAAAUAGGACCCCCCUCUCCCCAAUAGCCCUCCAUCGACGAGCACCAUGCCUCCACUCUCUUUCUCCCUCUUUCUCCCUAUUUUGGCCGAUUCCUUUUCACUAUGGCUGCCGGACAUUGAGACCAGAGAACACCGUUAGAGCUAACGUAAAGCUUCGGCCUUCCUCCCUUUUGCUUUCUCCUGUCCAUGGCCCUAAAUCACCACUGUCGGCCUUGAUUUCGCCAGAAAUCAACCAAAAAGAAAAACCCUUGUUUCACCACUUUUUCCUUUUUUUCCAACCACCAGCGUCACUGCCUCUCGUCACCGAACCCCUGGUUGAGUCCCUCAGCCUCCCUACUAACCUUCCAAGCAAAUCCAUGGCCACCGAUGAAUGGCCAACACCCAAAACAAUGAAAAAGCCUUCGUUUCCCUAUUUUAUCGACCUUUUUUCUUUGAUUUCUCGCCGACCAAUCACUACCGCUGACUGUCCACCUCCUCCGACUACCAACCAUGCCCUCUGGCACAAUUCCCAGCAAUCUCGGCCUCUCCUUCUUCUUCUAGGAGAGAUGAAGACUCACUCUCUUGUUUUUCUUUGUUCUUCUUUCUUCUCCCUCUCUAGGAAGAUCCAUGGAUCUCAGUGCAAAGUCCCAUCUCACUGUCAUAUGGACCUAAGUUGAUCCCCGAGCAGCCUGUCAGACCGAUCAUCCCCACCCUUGUUGAGCAUCUUUGAAACCCACUAUUGAUGAAUCCUAUCAAAUGAUCUUGGCCUUGAUCGAGCCGCUUAAAUCUGACCCAUCCGGGGCCGCCAAAUGCCGUUGCCCAGCCAAUUAUCCCUUUUUUCUUGCUAUUUUAAUAUUAUUAAAGUUAUCACAUCAGAAUUAAUUCUGCUUUAGUGUUUUAAAUAGGUUUAGCAGAUUCACCUAGUGAAGUUCAAUGGUUUAAGACGGAAGAUGUAAGUAAAUCUUACAGUUCUUAUUAAUUUUCAAACUAUCACAUGUUUUCCAUGCAUAUGAUUUGUCAUUGAUGAUUUUCUUAAAACAAAGGACCGACAUAUGUAUUAUGAAAAUUAUGUGUUGUUGCAAAAAGUCGUUUUGUGAAUAUUUUUAAUGAAUAUAUAUUGUUUAUGAAAUAUGAAUUAUCAUGCCAUUUAGUGUUUUUCCACCUACUGAUGUGUAUGUUUAAAAAAAAGAUAUAAAUAUUUUAAAAACUCUGAGAUAGCCAUGUAUGACCUCUAGAAUUAGGAAAGAUUGAUAUCUGUAACUAGUUUCACAUGAACACAGGCCAUGCCAAUGGGUAUAAAAUUGGCAUACAAACAUGAAUUUUUAUCGAUUAUGAACACAGAGUCUAUUAGGAUUAUAAAGU
Molecule: long non-coding RNA, 46328 nt
Filed under: Phoenix dactylifera (date palm)
Lineage: Eukaryota; Viridiplantae; Streptophyta; Magnoliopsida; Arecales; Arecaceae
Description: long non-coding RNA (PDAC_LNC001821)
Source: RNAcentral